GGCCGGCGACCCAGACGUCGGGCCUGAGUGUGCAGGUCUUGGGGCUGAAAGCGGGGGCGCUUUGGAAGCCGUUCUCGAGGUGGAGGGAAAGGAUUCUUCUCUACCGUUUGGAGACCCAGUGCUGUCCCGGCCGGUGGGAGCGGCAGCACUGACGGGGUCUGACGGCAGGUAGGGGCUCCGGGCUCGGUAUUUCCCCCGCGCUUCGCCCACGUGGGGCCGAGCCUCGGAAUCUGCAGCCAGGUGGCCGCGUGACUCUGAGCAGGGCUCCCUCCCAGCCUUCGUCUUCUCCCCCGAAAGCAAUCAUACCUGGCCUUCCCACCUCACAGGGCCCUUAGCGUGGGUCGUAUCCCACAAAGGUGGUGCGAAUGCAGGUGUCUGCCCACAGGUCCGAAGGUCAGUUAGCGAGGCUCAGGCCAGCCCCGCUGGGGGUAGUAACUGGGGAAGAGCUGCUUCAGGCUGGCAGUUUGCCCCUGGGAGAAUUCCAGCAUGACAUCUGCAGCCCUGUGGUUCCCGAAAAGACCGCUCUCACACGGAAGAAGAAGACGUUCGUGGGACUGAGUCCCACCCAAGUGUAGAGAAACUAAAAAUGAAAUUAAAAAAAAAAAAAAAAUCAGACUUUUUUUUUUUUUCCCCACUAGUCUUCAGCAUUGGUUUUUGGAACCUAUUUCUGGCUUCCUCUUCUGGGCUUUCCUAUAAAAUUGUCAGGCGAUAGGAUGUUACCUUGUAUUCUACUAAAGCGGCAUUGUAGAAAGCCUUGUUAAAGUAUUUGCCAUCAUUCCUUUAUUAUUACUCCUUAGUUGCCUCCAAGACAGACUGGAGAGGUGUUCGGGAGAAAGUAGAUAGAGUCUCCCACUUUUUUCUAUGGAAGUCAGCCUUGCAUUUGCAUUUAGUGUAUACUAAAUACUGUAUAUUUCCAUACAGCCCGGGAAACCGUAGCAUACACUCAUUUUAAAAGAAAUAAAACCUCGCAAAAGUUUUGUUUUCUCCCUUUGCCUGAACUGAAAUAGCACAUCCAGUUCUUGUUCUUUUUUCCUAGAAGCUGAACGCUGCACUUGGUGGUUUCUUUUUGUGGUCUCUUCCAGCUCUAUACCCCACAAAGUUUGUAUUUGCAAAACGAGACCAUGUGGGCCUCCUUUUUGUAGUCUCCCGCCUGAGUCACUUUCCCUAACAGAUCUUUAGCCCAGCCUGGGAUGUGAUUCUUUGUACCGGAGUUGAAGGUACCUAGGAGAAAACGUUACACUUGCUUUCCGAGACUCAGGGAAUCGUUGCUGUGUCUACAGAGUGAUUGGCUCCACUCGGAGUCCCUGACUCUCCUGAAACAUAAAGGGACUUAAGUGUGUCAAGGUCAGCAAUUUGGCAAGAAAAGUAUGUUUCACGUUAGACGGUGACACAGAAAAAAUGCCUUAAAGGUUGAUACAUUAGAUACUUAUUUUGCAAAUUCACCCAAAUUAUCAGACAGGGAAGAGAGGAAUUUGUUGAGUUUCUGCGUAGGUUUUUGAGUAAAUAUAGAAUUAUAUCCUUCAAGGUUUGAAAAAUGCUAAAAAUUUUUUUACUACUUCCAAGAAAAAGAGGAAGCAGACUGGCUAUAGUAAAUAAUAUCUCUGUGAUAUCGCAGUCAAUCAGACUGUGGCCAGACGAUUUCUAGAUCUCUGAUGCUUGGCACUGUUAAAAGUACAUUCCUAAAAUUUCACUGUUGAUAUCUAUUGCACAGAAACCAAGUGAUUGUUAAAAAUUAUUCCCUACCCUUACACAUUUUUUUUUAACCCUCUUCGGUAAACCUGAGCUUAGCAGUUACCAAAGUUCCCUCCGGUUUGGUAUAUCUUGGAGACUCUGAGAAGUUGGAAAAAUUCUUAAACUAUAAUGAUAAUCAGGCUGGCUGGACCACUCCCUUUAUGGUUAAGUCGUAGAGUAUCAGAAGGCUGGCGGGGACCUCACAAACAUUCUUUUAGGGAUGAGGGUCCUACAGACAGCCUCACCAUGCAGCUCUGGUCUUCUGACCUCAGGAACUUUUCUUUCCACAACCAUACUUUCCUCUAUUCCAGUGCAUGGAAAUAAGACUGGCUUAUAAACCGUGACUUACUUGAUUAAUUUAUUCAUCCAUAGGCACUCAACAAUGCUCUCCAAGUAGGCAUAGAAAAUGCUUGCAGUUUGGGGAACUCACUGUUCUCUGGCAGAAAUAUCCUGAUGGUUAUUCCUUGAAGCGUGCAUACAUGGAGACUUGUGGAGCAGCUGCAUAGCUUUUGCAUAACCAGUGAUGCACUGUGGUUGAUGAGGAGUGUGAGGAUGAGGGCCAUGUUGCAGCCCUUCCUCUGUGCCCCCCCCCCCCCCGAGAACUUCACUGACUUGAUUUCAUGGAGUACUUCACUUGAUUUCAACUCUGUGUUUGUUGUCUUUCUUCCCCACUAGAGCUCCUUGGGGGUAGUCAGGACUGGAUUUUUCUUCUUCACAUCUCUCAACCCUUUGUGCAAUUACCAGCACAGGGUAGGCUUUUAUACAUUUGAAUCAAUGAAAACUUUUUUUGGAACCAUGCAUGCGGCCAAAUAUAUUCGCUGGCAUUCAAGAGAUGAGAUUUGCCAUUGAAGUUUUUCUGUCUAAUGGCUGGGCGGUGAGUGUUCCAUAAAGCUCAGAUUGGUAAGAAAAUACGAAUCCAUCAUGGGUUGCAAGGUGUCCCUUGACAGUAAGCUCUGGCUGUCUCACUAGUGACUAAUGAUUCUUGCUACAGCAAGAAAAUCUAAUCUGGAGGAGAGGUAGCCGAAGAGCAGAAAACAAAUGUGGAAGUUUGGAAAUGGUUAGCAGUUUUCUAACAGCCUGGAUUCUGGGGUGAUUCAGAAGAUUUUCAGUCAUACGAUGAGGCUGUUCUUGCAUGGAAAGGCUUCACGACUUUUCAGAAGAAACUGCACAAAAUGUAUACCUCUCCAGGAAGGAGAGGUAAGCUUUAUGAUCGCAGGUGAGAUUGAGAGUAAUUUAUGUAAAACUAUUAUAUUCAUAUAGAAUGGUAAAAAGAGCAAUGGAUCCUUUUUGCCCCAGAUUCAGGAAAAGGGCUAAGUCUGAGAAAAGGCCAGAGGGACUUAGGAGUGGGAGGGAACACAGAGUUCUGGAAAAAGAAAAUAUGACUUAGCAGAACUUAAAACAACAUCUGGGAGGGUAUAGUUAGUCAUGGAAAAAUUGGCAGUCAUGAUUGUGCAUUUUAUGAAAAUAAUUAUGUACUAGUUCAAAAGUUAGCGUUUAGACUGAAAUUAAAUAGUCGAAAGCCUGUACGAUGAACUCUAUUAUCCUCACCAUGCAAAAAUACUUCUAUUAGCUGUCUAAAAUCAUUUACAGGAAGCUUUACCAAGUACGUUAUCGCACAGCACCAAUAUUUUCAAAGCCUAAUUUUAGAGAAAUAACUUCCAGUUCAAACCUUACACAGGAUUAGUAUGUUCAGCACAAAAGUAUCUUUAUAAACCCAAGGCUUAUCAAACAGCCUGUCAACCUCCAUUUCAUGAGCAGUAAAUGUUAUUUUUAUUCUGUACGUACAAUGUUGAUAAACUAGAUACAUCCUAAACACAAGUCGUGGAUAUUGUUUUAGCAACAAAAAGUCAUUUAAAAUGAAAACCUUUAACGUAUAUUCUCAUUAAUAUAGCACAUAUACUUUUAAAGUUUGUACACGGUAUCAUUUUAUGUAAGCAUCCCCUAAUUCCCAAUUUCUAUAGCUCCUUAUGCUUGACAUAUGCACUAACUCGAUGAACAGAAAUCCGUUCAUUCAAUAAAUACUUGACUAUCUUCCUGAUGCUGAGUUCUCCCUAGACCUUGGAUAUACAGAAUAAAACAAGGAGUCUCUUUCCUAUUAAAUAUGUGAGCACUCCUACUUACUGUCCUGGUUUUAAUUGUUUGAAUGACUUCCUGUCAGCAUUUUGGAUUGGAUAUAAAACAAUCUUAAUGUUAUUUAUUAAUAAAUUUUCUUCCAUGCCAAAAAAAUUUAUAAGGUUAGGCCUGUCAUGGUCAAUCCAUCGGACAGGUAUCUUCAACUCAGAAAAUUAUCUGUAGCCUUAAAAUCCAUGUACUUUAUCAGUUUGAAAGUAUGGAUGAACUUUCAAAAUUUUGCACGUGGGAAAAAAGUCAAUAUCCCAUAAACAGGCAAAAGAUAGCUAAGUAUGGGAUUCCUCAGAUGAAGAGUUAAAAAAAAAAUUGGUGACAUAACUAGUUUAAAAGUACUCGCAUCAGAGGCCUUGUUCUUUUUUAGAUCAUUUAUUUGUUGACAUUUUAUAAAAUAGCAUAGUUUACAGAUGCUGUAACGUAUUAGCUCGCAAUCCAUCCAGUCACUUGCCGCCUUUAAUGGAUGAUACUCCAUCCUGUUACAGCAAUGCCUCUUUCACACAGAGCUUGCGAGCUGGAAAGUAAUUGCUGAAUAAGCAAAGUUUUCUGCACAUUGGAAGCAUGGUUCUAGCAUUCGGCUAGUUGUACUUGCCAACCUAAACCACUACCCUCUGUUACUAUAUUGCAGCAACUCGAAGUUCUACGUUUAUUUAUUUUUUUGGGGGACAGAGAGAGACAGAGCAUGAACGGGGGAGGGGCAGAGAGAGAGGGAGACACAGAAUCGCAAACAGGCUCCAGGCUCCGAGCCAUCAGCCCAGAGCCUGACGCGGGGCUCGAACUCACGGACCGCGAGAUCGUGACCUGGCUGAAGUUGGACGCUCAACCGACUGUGCCACCCAGGCGCCCCGCAACUCGAAGUUCUAAAUCAGCUACACACCAACCACAAAAUGACUCCUCUCCCCUGUCAUAAGGACCAUAACAGGACAUAGACUAUAGAGGGAGCUUGUGGUACCAUGACAGGACUGGGUUUUCAGGAUUUGGUAAACUUUAUAGACAGCUGUUAAAUUGACCAAAUCAAAAGGAUGGGCCUUAAACCUGGCCCUUAUUUUUAAAAAUAGGUUUUGUCUUACAUCUCCUAUCCUUUAUGGAUUUGUCAACCCAGAUCUUCCCGUAUACAGGCUAAUAAAUAUGUACUGAAGGAUUACUGUGUGUAAGGCAAGGUACUAGGAACAUUAUGAGUCUUUUUUUUUCUUUUUCUUAAUGUUUAUUUAUUUUAGAGAGUGACAGGGCGGGAGCAGGGGAGGGGCAGAGAGAGAGAGAGAGAGAGAGACCCAGAAUCCAAAGCAGGUUCUAGGGUCUGAGCUGUCAUCACAGAGCCAGACCUGGGGCUUGAACUCACAAACCGGGAGAUCAUGACCUGAGCUGAAGUCGGAUGCUUAACCGACUGGGCCACCCAGGCGCCCAUGAGUACUUUUUCUAAAAUAUCUUGCAAGCUAGUCAGAGAGCUGAAGCAAAUGUGUAAGCUUCCACAGGAGAAGGCGGGGGGUAAGUGAAAUGCGACACGUCGCCAUGUCUCUCACUGGUAGAUUGAGAGCUCUGUGCCAGCAGAGUCUGCUUUAUCUUUACUGGCAUCCCUAGUGCCUGGCGUAGUGCCUGGCAUGUAGUGUGUCCUCCACACCCAUAAAGCUUUGUUUAAAGGUAUAGGAGAUAUUUGGGACUUCGAGGAGACAGUUCACUGUUGUUGUUGUCUUUUUUUAAGUUUCUUUAUUUAUUUUGAGACAGAGAGAAAGGGUGAGGGAGGGACAUGGAGAGGGAGAGAGAGAAUCCCAAGCAGUCUCUGUGCUGUUUGCGUACAGAGGGCUUGAACUCGCAAACCAUGAGAUCGUGAAAUGAGCCAAGAUCAAAAGUCAAACGUUUAACCUACUGAGCCCACAGGUGCCCUGAGAGAAUUCACUUUUCACUGGGAUGAUGAGAGAAGGUUCCCUGGAGGAAAGCAUUAUCUGAGCUGGAUCCCAGGGGAAUGGGUAAGGGGUGGAUGGGUAAGGGGGGAAAGGGUGAGCCAAGGGCUGAGGCCUUUGUGAGCAGAGUGGGGGCCACACACACUGGGUUUGGAGAUCCUGCAGGUGACAAGUGUUGCCAAAAGCUAGAACAUUGGGUCAUGGGCAGCUCUGUGGGCUCCACUAAGAAGUCUGGACUUGGUUCAGCAGACGGUACCUUAAGAGGCUUACUCUUCUGGUCGUGGAAUGUCAGAAGAAUUGAGUCAAGGGGCAUAGCGGGAAUCUAACCCCCUAACCCAAAUGGUGGCUGAGAAAUGGAAAGGAAGGACAGCUGUAGGAAACUGUAUGAAGGAAGAAGCUGCGGGACUCAGUGACUGAUUGUGGGUGGGGGCAGGAAGGAGAGAGAAGAGUAAGGUCUUGGGGCAGAGAAAAAUGGCGGCACAGGUCAAGAUGGAGCCUGGAAUGGAAGGUUGGCAGCUCAGAAGCUCUGAAUUUACACAUGUUGAAGGGAAGGGGCAGUGGACAUCUAGGAAGAGCGCCCAGCACAAAGAGUUGGGAGCGGGGCACUAAGGCUUGCGAAGAGAUUGAGGGUAGAGCUAGAAAUUGGGAGACAUUUGCCUAGAGGUUUGGUCAAAGAUGUAAAAGUGGACAAGGUCCCCAAAGGAGGGUCUUUAGUGACAGUAAAUCCCUUAGCAAGCACUAACAACCUGCUCAGCCUGGCUCAAAUCAAAGGGGCAUUUAUAAGUUUGUGAGUCUGGGAAGCUCAUUGCCCAGUGGAAGGGUUACAGAACCAGGGCCUCUGAGAUUGGGUUUCUCUCUUGCUCUUGCCUGCUCUUUCUCCCACUGAAGCUGGUCUCCAUUUGUGUCUGCACAUGGACUCUACGUGGUAGGGCCUGGUUACUGCCAACAGUGUAGAGCAACAUUCUCUCAGCUCUAUAUCACACCAGGGUCCAGCCAUCAUUCUUGGGAAGGACUUUGUCCCUAUUUGGGGCAUUUGUUCACUCCUUGGCCAGUCACCAUUGCCAGAGGAAUACUAGGCCUGGCCAUGUGUCCACUCCUGGGGUCAGGGAGUGGGUUCCCUCUACUAGAAAGAACAGGUCAAUAAAGUUAGCCAUCAGACAGAAACAAUCGCUACCAGUGGGUCUAGAACUGAGGCUGGGACAUGACUGGAGGAGGAAGAUGACCUAGGGAAGAAAGUAGAAGAGAGUCCGGAGAGAUGGGGGAGGACAGAUGGGACCCCAACACUGAAGGAGAGGAGUUUUAAUAAGAAAGAAGGGGCCAGCGCACCUGGGUGGCUCAGUUGGUUAAGCAUCUGACUCUUGAUUUUGGCUCAAGUCAUGAUCUCACAGUUUGUGAGUUUGAGCCCCCGUCCAGCACUGUGAUGACAAUGCAGAGCCUGCUUGGGAUUCUCUCACUCUCCGUCUCUCUCUGCCCCUCUCUCAAAUAAAUGCUCUCUCUCUCUCUCUCUCUCUCUCUCUCUCAAAAUAAAUAAACUUAUAAAAAAAUUUUUAAUUAAAAAAGGAAGGGACCAUGGCAGCUAACAGUGAGCAGAAAACCAGUUAUGUAUGUAAUUUUAAUGGGUACUAAAAAACAACCCCAACUCCUAAAAUUAACUUGGCUACCCAUCUUGUCAAGUUUCUUAUUUCUUUGGGUUAAAACUAGAAAGAUCUACACGGCUGAAUAGGGGAGAGACACAUUAGGUUUUCUUAGUCAUUCAGAUCAAUUCAAUAAACUUUUAUUAACCCCUUUCCCCUAUGUGCUAGGCGUGAUGUCAGGUGCUGGGGACACAAAAAGAAAGAUGUAUUCUUGCUCUGAAGAUUCUGAGACGAAGGACAACCUGAAAUUUACAAUAAAGCACAGGAAGUGCUAUGUUCCUCAAUCCCAUGAAUGUUUGUGGAGCAGCUACUAUGGACUUGACUAGUGCUGGGUACUUGGGGGAGGUCCUGUCUUCUGCCUGGUCAGUGGCCAGAAUCCCGAUCUCACCCUCCUACCACAGUCAAUGCCCCGUACUGAAGUUAGUUGUGAGGUCAUUCUCUUCUGCUCUGGUCUAAGCAUCAUGCAGGCAGGAACAUGUCUGCCUUGUUCCUGCACUGAAGGCCAGUAGUUUAGAUGCUAGUAUCACAUAUUUGCCAAAUGAGAGAAUAAUAAACUAUACAUAGCCCUGACAUGAUGUCAUUUUCGAGAAUCCAGGAAACAUGCAAAAUGACUUUGUUCUCUACAUUUUCUUUCUUCUUAGCUGAUAUCAUGCCGCCAGUGGAAAAGCGAAUGGUCAUUUGGAAGCAUUCAGCAGCCCUCAGUAGCUGUCCAUUUCUAUUAUUUGUGGCGAGUAAAAAUCACCAGAAAAUACUAUUCUAGCAUUCUCUAGGUAUUAGCUUAUUUAAUCCUCACAACAACCCUGUGAGAUGUAGGUAGAAUUUUAUACACAUGAGUUAACCCAAAGCCCAGAGAGGUUAAGUAACUCACUCAGGGUUACCCAGCUGGGAGGUGGCGAGAGCUGGGAUUUGACCGUAGGCAGUUAGCUCCGAGGUGCACCUCGGCACCCACUAUACCAGGCCACCUCUCCACAGGGCAGCGUUAAGGUGCGCACCUUCCCUGCUGCACAUCCCUUUUCCUUUUUCCCAGUGUUUCCUGCCCUUGUGAAGCUGGCCCUCUCUGAGGUUCCUGGCUUUGAAAUACGGGGAAUUUCCAAUAGAAAACCAUGGCUAAACCAGGCCUUAGUUGAGAAUAAAGGGCUCCUUCUUUUGCUUUGUUUCCACCUCAUUUAGUCCUUAAUAUUUUUUGACAUCCAGAUUUUUUUUCUCUCCGGAGUGGGGAAAAAAAAGGAGACCCUAGCCUGAAGAUGUCUUUUCCCCCGCUGACAACAUGAAACAAAAGCUCUUCCCUGUUUCUGUUUUUCAUUAAGAAAUAGGGGUCAUGAUGAUAAUUAACAAACCAGAGUUUAGGUUAGGAAGGCCCUUCUGACGUACUUCUUGCUUAUGCCAUAAUUGAGCUGAUGAGCUAGUUGAAUCUAGAAUCACCUCCACCUAUCGAUCCACCUUCCACAUGCCUUUUCUAACAUGUGAAUUCUCGCCCUAUUUGAUACACAUGUCCAGGCUUGAGAUGGAACUUGUCGUAGAAUCACUUAUAUUUCCACUGGUCUGUGUGUAUGCUGAUUUCUCCUUAUUCGAGAGCCCAGAGGGGAUGCUCAGGCAGGUAAGCUCCCUCCCUCGGGAUGCAGAAGCCAUCUCCACCUCCGUGGCCCCUCACUUGCCCACACCUUCUGCCUCCUGCUAACCCCUGAGCUUGCCUCUGGAAACAAGUCAAGUGGCCCCAGUGCCGGGGUGACAGAGGCCUUUCUUAGCUGAACAGCUACGAUCUUUGUGCCUUUCCUAUGUGGUCAUUUCCACGUCACCUUUAAAGCAUCUUAGAAAAAUGUCGAUGGUAUCUGAGAUGGUAUCUUCUCCCCCCUCCCACUGGAAACAUUUUUAUCAUUUGGCAGUCAGGUUCCAAUAAUCAUUAAGGGCAUCCACGAGGCAACACCCCCUGGGGGCAGCAGGAGCUGAGUGAGACAGCGUGUGCGAUGUUAGGGGGCUACGGGGAAAGAUAGGGAGAAAUCUGUGUUUGUAAUAGGGAGGAGUUUGGGUCUGACUCUAUGACAUGAACCACAGGUUCCCACCAGCUGCCUCCGAAUACUCCAAGAGGUACUUCGGGGUAUGUGAACACUUAGUCCCCAUACCCGAGGAAGUCACUUUGCGUCUUUUUAUGUGGGGCAGAAAGGUUGUGUUGUAACUGGGGAUAUUACUCUCAUGCUAUCAGGCAGUACUCACAGACUCUGAUUCCCGGUGGCUGUUUAGCCCAGUGGGGCAAGGAUGGUUACCGCACUCACGCCGUGAUGGGUACCAAGAACAUCAGGUGUGUGAGAGAUGCCAUUCCCGUGGGUCUUUCACAGAGAGUUCCACCCACCCUGAGUUACCCAAGAGAGCUGCUCCCUACAGCGCAGCCUCAGCUCUCGCUGCCACGCUAUUUCCUGAUAGUAUCUGGUGCCUCUCCAGAUAGCCUCCACUUCUCUCUGCCUCUGCUUUGAUCUCUAACCUCGGUAAGCUGGAUCUGACAUCGGCUCCAUAAAAAUCUGGUCCUGGACCUCUGACCAGGAAUUUUGUGUCGCUAAAGAAGUGUGCAUGCAGGCUCCUUGCUUCCUUCUGUGCCUGUGACCUGUUGGGCAGGGCACUAAUUCUUUAAGUCAGCAUUUCAAAGAGAAGAUUAAGAACAAGUUAAGCCUUUAGUUCAAAAAGUUCAGUUAAUCCUAGAGCAAAGCACACUGGGUUUUGAGGCCAUGUGAAAUAGCCAAGCCUUAAAGUCAACAGUGGUCAUGGAAAAGUCACACACAGUCCUUCCACUAAGAGGGAGAAAUUUAUAUGGUGAGUGUGUGUGCGCACGCGCAUGUAUGUGCACAAGCUGUUUGAUUUCUCAGGGUUUUCCUUUUCCUAUCUGUAAAAUGGGCACAAUGAAUCAGUGGCCCAGAUGUCCUAUCCUCUGUUUUGCUAUCUUAGAGACGGAUGUGUGGAUCAGAGCUUUUCUUCCUGGCUGCUACAUGCUUGUUGUAUCAAAUAGUUACUAUUUCCAAUUUUUUAAAAAAGUUUUAAAUUGACAUUUGUCUUCUUCUAAGGAUUAUACAGUUUAUGGUUUCUGUGAACAUACCUCCUAAACUGACUUGGUUCAAAGCAUCCAGUGGUUCCAGACAUAAACUGGUUAUGCGAGCUGGAGACCAAACUGGAAUUCACUCAGAUAUUAGGGGCCAUUUACUUGUGGGUCUGCUUAUUUUAUCUCGGCAUUGGCACAUGCAGUGUUAUGGUUAUCACAGUUUCAGCAAUACCCAUGAUUUACUGAGGUCCAGACAUGCAGUGGCGCACAAUGGGUGCACAGCUCUCGGGGCAGAUAAACCUAACCAGGUACACCGGUGGGACACAUCACUCAGAGGGGGGAGGCUUGCUGGCAGCUGAUUGCAUGACAAGGUCUGCACCUGUUCCUUAGUGCCCAUCUCUUUCCAAGGUCAGUGGGAGGUGCUGUUCCGGGAGGAAGAGAACUUGAGAGGGAACGGCUCAGAAGGUGAAGCACAGAGCAUUUUCUGCGACUCUCCUACGUGCCUGUAAGACUUUUCUGCGAAAACUCACUGGGUUCUCCCUUCACCUAAAAGCUCCUGAAACCUCCAUUCUUCAAAGUGUUCUUCAUCAAGAAGGGAUGUUCACAGAAACCAUAAUCCUUAGAAGAAGGUAAGUGCCAAUUUAAAACGUUUUUUCACAAUUGGAAAAGGUAAAAGCAUGUAGUAGCCAUCGAGAAAUGCUCUGGUCCACACGUCCGUCUCUAAGAUAGCAAAACAGAGAAUAGGACAUCUGGACCACUGAUUCAUUGUGCCCAUUUUACAGAUAGGAAAAGGAAAACCCUGAGAAAUCAAACAGCUUGUGUGCGUGCACGGGCAUGCACACGCACACACACACACACACACACACACACCAUAUAAAUUUCUCUCUCUUAGUGGAAGGAGUGUGUGCAACUUUUCCAUGACCGCUUUUGAUUUUAAGACUUGGUUAUUUCACCUGGCCUCAAAACCCUGGACAAGCUGGUGGUCUCUCCCCAAUACCCACCUCUGAACACUCCCCUCUUUGCGAAGCACCAUCUAAAUGAGUAGGUUUUCAUAUGCCCGAACACUUCAUAAAUAAGUAAUUGUUUGGCUCGUAUUGAUGAACUUUUGCAUCUAGAUCAUCAAGAUUUAGUCACAAUAACCAUGUACUGGGAUGAUCUAAUUUACGUCUGAUGAAAAUCCUGGAGAGCAGGUGCUGUGAUUUCCCCCGUGAGAAAACUGAAGCGUAGCAAGGCUAAAGUAACCUGGUCAAGAUCACACACUGGACGAGGCCGAGCUCACUCUCAAACCAGGUUGUACAGCUCCAGAGCGUGUACAGUUGAGCACGACCCAGCCUGCUAGCACCUCAUCCUGGGCACUCACUCUGCGCCCGCUCAGGGCCGGGUGCUGCGGGGAACCAGGGAGAGCAAGAUGUUCCCCCUGCCCUCACGGGGGCCCAGGGAGGUGAAGGCAGCAGUGUGUGCUAUAACAUGGGAGAUGCCGUGCUAAGUCCGUGACCCUGGAAGGACAAAAAGUGCUGCAGCGGCCUGAGAAAGGAGUCCUGAGUUCUCCCCGGGGAACUGUUUUAUCCUUUCAGUCUCACCUGGCUAACUUGAAUUUUUUGUGUAUUAAAAGGAUGACUCAGACUUUGUAAACUGGGAGAAAGUACCUAUACAACAAAACAAAACAAAAUAGAAAAAAAAAAAAAGACUUUAUGGCUUUAAAUAAAACCCCUUGUUUGCCUCCCCUGGUGAGUGGCAGGUAGUCUGGGACGCCCUUCUGUUUAUUCUGUUUGCCUUUUUCUUGUAUUGUCUGUUCUGCCCAACGGUGAAAUUCAGCUUCCUUCAGCAGCUAACUUCAUUGCCUUGCAAGGCAUUAACCUUGAUAGAAAAUUUUCUAAUUAACGCCGAGGAGGAAGCGCAGGCUCUGAAGCCUUUCCUGCCCUCCCAUACCUGUUCAACGACUCCGGCAGCUUUCUUUGGCAAGCCAGAGAAGCAAACAAACGGAAAAUCCAACCCGUCUUCAAGUUUAUCCCAAAACAGUUGUUGGAUUAAUGUAUGAGGUGGACUUGACUGCUCCAGCCAGUGACGGUAGUGACACUGUUUUGAGCUUAUAGACAAAGCCUAAACCUUCAGUGAUGUCUCCAGGUGUUGAAAGUAACAAAACCCCUUAGGGAAGUGUCAUGAUUAAAAUACCACUUGGGAAUGGGCCUGAGCGGACUUCUUUUUCCUUGACAAAUUCACUGAGAAUGAGGCAGCAGGAAGCCAUGGGUGGGGAGGGGGUGAGCAGAUCUACCCUGGGUCAGAACAGAGGAGAGGUGCUUCCUGGGCAAUCGGGCUGAGCUCCAGGCUGCAAGUCUGGGUGAGGGUGAAGGGUAAGGAAGUCCCCCCACCCCAAGCAGGCUUCCAGCAGCCCUUAUUCUUUUUGGAAAACAUAAACAGAUUGAGGGCUCUGUACAAAUUGCUACAUGAUACCCAACAUCCUGUGUCUGAGUAAACGGACAUGGCUAGCUCAGGCCUUGAUUGUGCUUCAAAAUUUAACCUCUCAGGGUGCCUGGGUAGCUCAGUCAGUUAAGCGUCCAGCGUCCAACUUCAGCUCAGGUCAUGAUCUCACAGCUCCCGCGUUUGAGCCCGGAGUCAGUUUCUGUGCUGCCCAUUCAGAGUCUGGAGCCUGCUUUGGCUUCUGUGUCUCGCUCUCUCUCUCUCUCUGCCCCUCUCCUGCUUGUGCUCUGUCUCUCAAAAAUAAGUAAACAUUAAAAAAAAUUAAAAUAAAAUUUAACUUCUCAAGGCAAACAGAUAUGUGGGGAAGCAGAGAUUCUGUACCAAGGAUGUUCGGGUUUGGGCAUGACUUAUUCUCUCUUAGGAAACAGAAACGUAUCUUCACUUUUAAGAUAACAACAGUACUGUCCCAGGACAGCAUAAUACCAGGAGAAACAAAUAUCUUAAAUAACAAAUAGAGUCUUCAUUUCCCCUUAUCGGUCCAGAGGAACACAUUAAAAAAAAAAAAAAAAGAUUUGCAAUGUAAGAAGUCUUGUCCAGACAUAUUUUCCCCCUAAAUAUUAAUAAAUCAAAAAGUAAAUUAUGGUACUAGACUAUUUAAAUUAGGUAUAUUUUUGCAAGGCAUUAAUAUAAAAGGAAGAAAUUAGAGUCAGAUAUACUGGGCUCUACUCCCUUCCUUCUUCCAGAAGGAAAGAAGGACUGUGAGGCCUCCCCAGCCCCACGGGACCAUUCGAACUUCCUCAGGCCUCAGCAGAGCAGUGCAGGGUCCCGUCUUGUGUCAGACAGACACAGCUUUUCCACAGCUUUCCUCAGCUGCUUUCCUGCCUGAACUUCUUUCUUUUUUUUACUCAUUUAAAAAAAAAUUAAGACUUUGUUUUUUUUUAAGAGCAGUUUUAGGUUGACAGCAAAAUUGAGCAGAAAGCACAGAGAUUUCCCAUAGGCCCCGGCCCCCCCCCCCCCACAUGCACAGCCUCCCCCAUUGCGAACAUCCCCACCAGAGUGGUACGUUUCUUACAACAGGUGAACCCACACUGACACAUCGUUGUCACCCAAAGUCCGCAGUGCACGUUAUGGUCCACUCAUGCUGGUGUGAAUUCUACAGGUUUGGAUAACUGUGUAAUGGCCUGAAUCCAUUAUUAUGGUGUUAUACAGAGUAUUUCACUGCCUUCAAAACCCUCUGUGUUCUAUUUACAAAAAUAGGGAAUGUUUCAUGCAUUCGUGUGUCAUUCUUGCAGGGGGGCCAAGCUAAUCUUCUCUGUAUGGUUAUAGCUUUAGGACAUGGGUGGCCGAAGAGGGCACUGAACUUCUUAUGAGGCAAAACCAAAAAGACUCUCCCUUGUUGAAAAUCAGCCCUCAGUGACUGGAGGGCUGCACAGUCGGCUCAGGUCAGCUUUGUGUUGCCCUGACCGGUAUUGCCACCCCUUUGCCCUGGUGGGGAAACCAAUCUCCAUCGUCUACGUGAAUCUGUGGAGGACUCAGGUCCCUGGCAGCAAUUUCUGGGUUUGGAAUUGCAUGGAUUCGCCAGUCUUCCUAUGCUGAGGGCAGGUUCAUUGCUUUUCUAAUAAAAUGUUCAUAGCUCUGGUUCCAGGCAGAGAAUUGGCACACAGUAAGUGUUUGUUGAGUUCAACUGAAUAAACUAGAAUUCAGGGGAGAAAUAUCAUUGUUCUUUAUAGUAAUAUCUCUAUUAAUGAAGCAGGUGUGUCCCUAGUGCAUGUGUAAUUGCCAUUAACGUGUCCGGCAGAGCCAGGAAUAACAGAGGAAGUGGGAGUUUCGGUUUCUCUGUGACCACAUCCUUCCAGGACAUUCCCCCUUCCCUCUCCUCCAGAUAGAGUGGAUGGUAUUGCUCUGGCUCAUGUGAAGGGUUGAGGGGUUUCUAUUCAUCUGCAGUGCUUAGAGUAGUGCCUGGCACACUGCAAGUGUUCAGUGAAUUUCUGUGGAAUCAAUGAAUAAACCAUGGUUCCGCACCCCAGCAAUGGGAGGGCCUUGGGAAGCUGUAGCCUGGGCAGUGCUUUUGCAGUUCUGGAAUUAGACCCAUGAGAGUCCAGACACACAGCCAUCCACCCUCUGCCAGAGCUGGGGCUGAUUCUAUCCUGUUUGGCUCCUUAGCUGCUGCUUUCAAUCUCCAUUCUUCUAGACGAGCUUUAUUAGAAUGAGUUGUAUCUACAGGAAGCGAGUUCUGUUUGCCUUCUGAAUCUUCUACUUUGCAAUCCAACCAUGCAUUAUGAUUCUUUAAUACUCCCUUGGAGUUCAUGCUUCCUGGAUUUCAGCCCAUUCUGAAAUAUUUGAUAAUAUAUUUGAUAAUAUAUUUGAUAAUAUAUUUGAUAAUAUAUUUGAUAAAAUAUAUAUGAUAUUUGUUGUCACGGAUGAGCAGGAAAAAGUCCUUUGUGCCACCUAAUCCUCUUUAAUCAGUGGCCUACAGCAAUACUUUCAAGCUCUCCUUUCCCCACCCCAUCCUACCCACCACCAUAUUUGCAGCCUAUUCACCACCCCAUUGUUGAUUUCUGAAUAGUGUAUUUCCCAUUAGAUUAGGGAUUGGUCCUUCUCUGUCCAGCCCUGUAUGGUAGGGGAGUACAUUUCCGAGGCUCCCUUUUAGCUUCUUAGCAUAGUCAUUGGGAAGAAGUGGUAGGAGACUGAUGGGCGACAGGAAGGGAGAAGCCAGGGUAUCUCUCUCCAUCUCUAGCCCCCACUUUGGUCAGCACGCCCCCUGUCAGCUGCACCUCCUCCGUGGACCCAGCAUGGCAGUUCUAUCCCUGGGAUCUGGUAACACUACCUAUUGUGCCUCCAUCCCUAGGGAUAGUGACAGAUGUUUGCUCGUGUUCUUCUUGAGAUUGCUUCCCUGUGUCCUCUUUGGUUUCUUAGCUCUUCCAUGAUCUCUGUAACCAAUUCCAUGUAUUAAAAAAAAUGUUUAUUUACUUUUGAGAACGAGAGAGAGAGAGAGGGAGAGAGAGGGAGAGAGAGAGAGAGGACCAUGUGGGUGGGGGAAGGGCAGAGAGAGGGGGAGACAGAGGAUCCAAAGUGGGCUCUGUGGUGACAGCAGAGAGUGUGACACGGGGCUCAAACUCAUGAACCGUGAGAUCCUGACCUGAGCCGAAGUUGGACGCUUAACGGACUGAGCCACCCAGGCACCCCAUGUAACCAAUUCCCUGUAUUAAAUCCAGCCUGGCUUGAGACACCUAGAGUGGUUUCUGGUUUUUGACUAGACUCUAGUAGAUACAGCAUGCAAAUACUACUGCUGACUUCAUGUGAACUCCUCACUUUUCUUCUGACUCCUCUGUGGACUGAAGCACUUACCUCACAAGGUGUUGUCAUAAUAAGUUGUUUGUGGAAGAUCUCUGAGAUCCUGGAGUGGCUGGUAAAUUAUAAGCAAGUGCAAUAUGUCAUUAAUUAGCUUUCAUCCAAAUACUCUGUGCAUGCUAAAGAAGGCUUAAUUUCUAUUCUUUUUGGAGGGACUAUUUGAAAAGUCCCUGGUUGAAGAGGCUGCAGCACUCCCUUGACAAUGCUUUGGCUUGCCUUCUAAGCCUGGAGGCAGUUGUGGUACCUGACUUGUCACUCACUCAGUGCUGGGUCACCUUGCACCUGUCCCAAAGCCAUUCAUCCUCUCAACUUUGGGUUCCAGUGGGCACCCAAACCUAUAUUUAGGGUAGCUGUCCCAAGGGACCCGGCAAAUGACUCAGGGCUGCAGGUUUGGGUGGAGCAUGGCAUUGAGGGCUGGAUACACCUGGAUUUGAAUCCCAGCUUUGCAUCUCCUGAGAUGUGUAAGUUUGGAAAAAUUACUUCACUUCUUUAAACCUCAAUUUUUGUUUAAUGUCAAAUGAAGAGAAGAAAGUUUCACAUCAGGCUUUACAUUAGAUGGUUGCCUCAAAGAAAAAGAUCUAUCUUAAGGCCCCAACCAGAGUUUACAAAUAUCAAGACUUGGCUACUGAGAGUUGGAUCUUCUCCUUUCCCAUCAACACAGUAUGUAAAGUAAUACAUGUUCUGUAUGGUCUGUGGAGAAUCCCAAACCCGCCCCUGUCCAAAUCCAGAUAGGCUUGGAAGUAACCUAGAACCUAAGACUUUUUAUUUUUAUUUUUUUAUAUUAAAAUGUUUAUUUACUUAUUUUUGAGAGACAGAGAGUGCAUGCAAGCAAGGGAGGGGCAGAGAGAAAGGGAGACAGAGAACCCCAAGCAGGCUCUGUCAGCACAGAGCCUGAUGUGGGGUUCGAACUCAUGAACUGUGAGAUCAUGACCUGAGCCAAAAUCAAGAGUCAGAGGCUUAACUUUAGACUGAGCCACCCAGGUGCCCCAAACCUAAGACUUUUUAAAGAAUACAAUAAUUAUGUUUCUGAUAAAACAUCAGCCUCCUUAAUUUAUUUCUUGUCUGUGCUUAUUCACCUUGCCUAUUUAUUAAACAUGUUUGAUUUCUUAUUCUUUGCAAGUAGGAUAUGAAAAGGGAGAGAUAAGGAAUGUUUAACUUUGUAUAGCUCUGAUUUCACACCUGGUAAAUACUGGAUGGUGUUGACAGGAAUCCAGGUCCUGAACGUCUGAUCGUGAGGGACUAGGCAAGAGUCUUUCAUUAUGAGAUGUAGUCUAAGCUCUGGCUUGACCAAACUCUAAGCUGGAGGGCAUCACAUCGGCAUUAUGCUUUUGUUUUGAGCUCCCUUGAAAGGAAUUGAUUUCUGCUGUUUGGGGGCAAUGGGCAAAAUAUGCCACUAACUUAAUUUUAUUUAAUAACUCUGUUAAAUGGUUUUAGCCAGUGCUUUCACUAUUUAAAAGGGAAAAUGUAAGCCAGUCAACCCACAUUAUGAUCUAAAAAGCAAACCCUGUUAGAUGAAUGGGAAUGUGGAGGAGGAGGAAUUCCACAUCUCAAACUAUCCUACCAAGUGCUGAUUUGCAUAGAUUUGAACCGCCUGGCUGGGAAAGAAACUGGGGCACAGCUUUGUCAAUGAGGUAUCAGAGAUCUAAAGACUGAGAUGUUCUCAGAUGAAGAAGCUCAGAACCUCAACUCUCGUCAAAGAGGGACUUUUGCCAUAGGAGGUGGUCAAGGGACUUUUGGGGCAGCUGAAAGAAGCCUUUCCCCUUCUUGCCCUUUGAGGAGUCAGGGGAAGGGUGGGCCAGGUGGUGUAAGGAAUUGCUGGUCUGUCACAAUACAUAUAGCUUAAAUAGCAGCAGAGUCAAAGUUCUUCUGACUCUGAAACAAUAAUUCAAAAAGCAGCAUGUCUCUGGGGACUGGUCCUAAAGAAGCCCCCAAUGAGAAUAUGAGGAAAGCCCAGGUAAAAUCGCCCUUAUGUAGGACAGAUGUGAUCAAUGUGCUUAGCUUCUCUUUUCAGCUUUCUUGCCCAGCCUGCAAGUUUGCAAAGGAGCCUUUGGAGAACAUGUGUGGUCAUAUGUUCACUCUCAUGGGCCUAAACCAGGCAGCACCCAAUUGAGCCUUUUUCAUUCUGCAAUCUUUCUAUUAAGUACUCUGGAUUCUUCUUACCUGAAUUUAAAUAACACUUAUCUCUUUCUAAAAUGCUACGUACAUAUUUUUAAUUUUGUUAAAUGAUUGUCCACCCUCCAGGACUAUAAUUUCCUUGAGAAUAGAUAUCUUUGUGUGUUUUAUUUGCCCACAUAUGUCCCCAGCACUUAGAACAGGGCUUGAAACAUAGCAGAUCUUCAAUAAAUAUUUGUUGAAUGCAUGAGUGAAUAAACCACAAUCCUGGUUUCAUAUUUUCAGUAUAUCAGAAGGCUAAUAAUAGACACUUACAUUUAAAAAACAUUCAAGAGUAAGUAAAAAUUCAGCUCAGUAUCUUUUCCCUCUCUAUACCUAUAGUCUACACAGCUGGUUGGACCUGUGUAGAUUCCAAGUUGGAUAUCUUAGCCAGAUUAGAACAGGAUUCUUUGUGGUCACUCUGGAGAUAGUACUGGAAGGCAGUGGAAUUUGGGGACACAGAGGGCUCUCAAUAGGAGGGAGACACUAGCUGGACUUAAUGAAUUUGCCACUUGAGUAAGUCGUAUAGACCGGGAAACACAAUUCAUUUAUGUGCUUCAUUAUGUAAAUGAACUCCAUGCUUAAAAAUUCAUAAGAGACUACUAUCUCUAAUCAUAAAUUCAAUUAACUUACCAGGGUGGAAAAACAGAAUUCAGGCAGACAAGAUAAUCAAGCCAAGCUUACUACAUUGGUCUCUCCCAUUGGAAAACUGAACAGGAAGGCAAUGAUCAGCUUAGUAAUGCUGGAUUCAGAGCCAGGUAUCUUAGUUCUAGAACUCAGAUGUUGGAGCCCACACUCUGAGGGCUGAUGUGUGUUUCUCCACAACUGGGCACUCUACACCCCCAUUGGCCUCCAUUCUACUUCCAGUCAAGACACCCUCUGGUCUCUUGGGAUGGUGUGUGGAUGGGCCAGCCAGAUUCUGAAACUUCCCCUUUUCUGUGCUUCUGUAGGUGAUUAACACAUUCCACGAAAUAUGUUCAUGCUUCAGUCAAGUCUUGGUCUGGCCUGGGAAUCAUUCCAUCUCACUACUUCUUAGAUUAAAUAUGCAUGCAGAUCAUAUUUUUUGAGUGUUUGCCCCAUGCUGACCAAUCCAAAUGGUUCUUCUGCAACCCACUGGAUGGUUUGACUCUUCAGAAGUUAUGCAUUUCUGUUGUUUCCAAAUGUUCGGGAUAUCCCUCUAUAUCCCCUAUUCACUGUCUUUGCCUAUCAAGUAAGCUCCAAAUACUGAUGGAUCUGCCCUCCUGAGCAGCCUCUCCCCCAGAGAGCAAAGCGAUGACUCUCUGAGCCAAACCUUCUGAUCCCUGAUGAUUAGUUUCUUCCUAUAAAUCAGUAAGUUGUCUUUUGAGUGUAUAUGACCACCUCCAGUGAAGUGAACUCCCCUCUAGUGAGUUCAGCUUGUUCCUCUAGAGCUUGAUCAUUCCUGGCACAUUGGAAAGUCACCACAGGAUUGAGAGAUAUGGCCUGAAGGAAGCUCACAUUAGUGGCUGUCUCUGCAUGGGUUCCCCACCCAUUCCCACACCACAGCCUCUCUUGCAUAAAUCCACCCACCUUUAGAGCCCCUAAGCCCCUAUGCAGCGGAUCCGCCCUGUAGUUUGGGGCCCAGCCCAUGACUUUUGGGAGGUGAAAAGCUGAAUUAGCAAGAUGACAGAUAGAAUGAUCCAGAAAAUCCUGUCCUUCUGGGAAGUCACUGGUCUCACACCAACUCUUGAGAAAUGUGUCCCUAUGAUCCCAGCCAAGAAACCUAUUAAGUUCAUGUUCUGAAACCUGUGAAGCUAAGGACCCCAACCCCGGGGGCCCCUCCAUGGGCAGCACCAGUGUGGGAGAGCCAUUUUUACCACCCUUAUGACAACGGGGCCACUGAGUAAUGUUUAGAACAAAGCUUUGAUGAUGCAGAAUAACUGACACUCUCUCCACAUUAAUGAAAGUAAAUUCAAUUACAUUAGUUAUACUUUGCAUGGUUUUGUUUAUUAAAACUAGGAAAUGGACAAUACACUUUGGAAAAAAACCAUUAAGCAAGGCUUGAAAUAACAAGAGAUUUCUUCAAAUAAUUCCGUUUAUAAUACCAGGGCUAUCCAAUAGAAAUAUAAUCCACACCACAAAUGUAAUUUAAAAUUUUCUAGUAGCGAUAUUAAAAAAGUAAAAACAAUUUCCCUACCUACUUUUGUCAUAUCCUAGUAAUAGAUAAACUAUGAAAAAGGUAAAAAGAAACAGGUGAAAUUAAUUUCAAGAGUAUGUUUUUCCAGUCCUGAGGAGAACGUGCCUCCUCCCGGUUGGGCAGAUAAACCUUCAUCCUAACAUAUGGAAUCAUGGACCCUAAGGCAAGACUUGUCUACAUUCGUCACCGACAGCGGGGGACAUUCAGGACUGAAUCUUGGCACAAAGAAUGAUUAACAGCUGUGGGGACCAGAGGUAGCAGGUGAAAAAGAGCCCGUAAUCAAAGCUUCUGACUUCAUUUGGAAAAUGUGGUCCUAACUUAAAAGUGAGAUUACUUUCCCUUUUCACUGCUUUGCCAAAUUAACUCCUUUGAGAAGAAAAGCCACGUUAUUCUUUUUUUUUAAUGUUUAUUUUUAAUGUGUAUUUUUGAGAGAGAGCACGUGAGGGCACGUGAGUAGGGGAGGGGCAGAGAGAGGGACAGAGGAUCCGAAACCCACUCCAAGCUGUCAGCAGAGCCCCCCGACGCGGGGCUCGCUCGAACUCACCAACCACAAGAUCGUGACCUGAGCCGAAGUCACUCAACCGACUGAGCCACCCAGGCGCCCCCCACGUUAUUCUUUUUAUUGCAACUUGUCCGUAGGCUGCUGUAGGAAUGACCGUACAUAGUAAGACAAACUGGAUCUCGAUAAUUGUGAGAGCAGCUUGCCUGCAGCUUGGCUGGCAUUCAUGGCCUUCCUUUUGAUACAAGAUCAAGCACUUACAAAGCACAUGUUGUGGGACCGACAGGGUGUACUGGGCCCUGUAAUGUAUAAAGAAAAAAACCAAGCCCUUGUCAUUUUGCCGAAGUUAGGCUUUUUUAGAAGACAAUACAAUAUCUAAUAUAAUGCUAAUUAUGUGUCAUGCACGCUACAUGUAAUAAAGGUUUUGAGGAGAGAAAAAAAUAUGUUUCACUCAACCAAUAUAUCCAAAACAUUAUCAUUUCAAUAUAUAAUCAUAUAAAAAUUAUUAAUGAGGUAUUUUAUAUUCUGGUUUUUGGGUGUUUUGUUUUUUCUAACAAAUCUUCAAAACUCAGUAUAAUUUAUACUUCUAGAACAUCUCCAUUUAGACCAGCUGUAUUGCAAGUUCUCAAUAGCCACAUGUGGCUGGUGGCUACUAUGCUGGACAGUAAUGAGACCCUUCCAUCCCACAAACUUUUUUUUUUAAUAAUGUUCAUUUAUUUUGAAGGAGAGAGAGAGAGCAUGAGCAGCAGAGGGGCAGAGAGAGAGGGAGACACAGAAUCCGAAACGGGCUCCAGGCUCCAUGCUGUCGCACAGAGCCCGAUGUGGGGCUUGAACCCAUGGACGGUGAGAUCAUGACCUGAGCCGAAGUCAGAUGCUCAACUGACUGAGCCACCCAGGCGCCCCCACAAACUUUCUGAUUAAUUGAGAUUCCGUGGUUUUGAACUCAAAGAAGGCAUUAUUAAUUUACCUUGACCUGGGCUUCUGGGCACAGAUGACAAAGCUCAUGUUAAUAAUGUGCUAACGAGCUACACCCUGGGGUUCUCCCUGGAGUAUUCCUGCUUCUGUUCUGUUUUGCAGACACAGCCAGAGUGAUCCCUAUAAAGUCUAAAUUAGAUACCAUCACUUCUCUGCUCAGAACCUUUCCACGACUUCCUAGCUCAGUCUUCUCAUGGCUUACAAGGCCCCACACAGUAGAGCCCCUGCCUACAUUUCUGUCUCAUUUCCUGCCAUUCCUGCCUGUCCCUCAUUUGCUCAGCCACACCAUUUGUUGCUGUUGCUUGACCUUGCCAGCACACUCUUGCCCCAGGGACUUUGCACUUGCUCCUCCCCUUCUGCCCAGAACACUAUCCCCCCACAACUUCCCAGGGUUUACCCUGCACUUUCUGCACAAAUGUCACUCAUCAGAGGAGCCUUCCCUGGCCAUUCUAUACACUUGCCCUUAAAGAGGGUUUCUCUUGAGGCCCCCUUCUUGUCAUCCUGCAUCCCCACCCGCUUACUACCUGCCUUAUUGCUUUUCAUGGCACUUGCUUAUUUACUAGUUAAUUUUCUGUCUUCCCCAGCCCCACCCUACUAAAAUGUGAGUUCUAUGAGGGCAGGGACUUUCUCUGUUUCUUUUGGAGGCACUGAAGCCCCAGCGGCAAUAGUAUCUGGCACAUAGUAGGUGCUUAACAAACACUGGUGAGUAAAGGAAAGAAUCCAACUUGGCAAGAAAUGCUUAUAGGAAUAGGAAUCACAGGCUUUCAUAACAAUAAUAGAUUUAUAUUUAAGAUCCUUAUUUGAGUUCAGUCUUAGAACUAAGCAAGAGUUCUCCUGGUGGUGAGUAACUCACCUGAACAGAAAGGCAACCGCCUCUCAUCCAGGUCCCCCCGUCCAGCUGGGGUCUCUCUCUCCGUGACCUCUUUAUUGCUCUUAUCACUUCUCAGCUGUUACAGGCCUGGAUUAGACACACUGUUUUUAUUUGAUGAACCAUAAACCGACAGUCACCUAACGGUCCUAGAUGUGCUGCUUUGCCAUGUUGCCUGCUUAUAGCACCUCAGAUUGCUUAAAACCAGAUCAAUAAUCUCAGUCAAAGAAUUCCUGUCCCAUGAGUAUCUGACUGCCCUUCUCUUCAUCAGUAUUUAGAUACAUUCCCAUCAGGAGUGGAGGGGGGGGGGGUGGGGGUGGGAAAGGCUCCAUAUUCGUUCUUUAGGUCUCUGGAAUUCACAAUUAUUUUCCUGUCUGGGUUGGGUGUGCACAGACGCAGCCAUCAGCGGCUCCUAGCUCCUUCGUGCCUUUCAGUCUCCUGCGUUUCCUUUGUUCUGCUUUGGGGCAGAUCGAGGGAGCUGCCUCAGAACCCACCAUUUAGUGGGAUUUAUAAAAAGCCCUCCUGCAUUAACUCUGUAAGGUUGUGUAGUAUCUACUCUAAUUAGUCUAUAUUCUCACAGGCUCCCCCCACCCCGGCCCCCAGGGCCUACGGCACAGAGCUGUGAAGUCACUGGUCAGGGGUGGAAUGAGACCAGUGGCCACGGGGUGGAUGACGUCACCAGGAUCCAACCUGAACGUCCCCCAAAUGCGCCAAAGACAUCAUGUUCUCACCGGGUGAACCGUGAGAACUGUAACCCAGCGGGCCUCUGAUGUGUUAGCUGUGACAUUGGACCAGUGUGAGCCCACAGAGGUCUGCACGCUUGGAACUACUCAGAGGGAUCGUUAGGAAACACAGCCGCAAAUGCUGCCACUCAACCCAGCUUCAGCGCGUGAUGAAGCGUGUGCUCCAGGGAGGUGCGGAAGAGAGCGUCUUCUUCUUGAUAAGCGUUCUUACUUUACAGUGACAGAGUAGAGUNAACGCCCCCCAAAUGCGCCAAAGACAUCAUGUUCUCACCGGGUGAACCGAGAGAACUGUCACCCAGCGGGCCUCUGAUGUGUUAGCUGUGACAUUGGACCAGUGUGAGCCCACAGAGGUCUGCACGCUUGGAACUACUCAGAGGGAUCGUUAGGAAACACAGCCGCAAAUGCUGCCACUCAACCCAGCUUCAGCGCGUGAUGAAGCGUGUGCUCCAGGGAGGUGCGGAAGAGAGCGUCUUCUUCUUGAUAAGCGUUCUUACUUUACAGUGACAGAGUAGAGUAAACGCACAGUGAAUUCUCACUAGUUGUAGGACAAACCUAAAAAAUCUUUUUAUAUAAGGACAUAGAAAAAUGUAAUGGCCACAGGCCAUGAGAAACAGCCUGUCAGGAUUAAGCAGAUUAUUCAGAAUUUAUUUGAAGCUGUGAGAGCCAUUCCUUUUUUGCACAGCUGAGUCAUGGUGUAAUUGUCAGACAUUCUGUGAGCACACUGAGCAAAUUUCUCCCUGCUAUUCUCUAUCCUAUAUGCUGUUUGUUUCUUUAAUAGUAGUAAUUAUAGGGGCGCCUGGGUGGCUCAGUUGGUAAGGCGUCUGACUUCGGCUUAGGUCAUGAUCUCGCGUUUUGCAAGUUCGAGCCCCCUGCCAGGCUCUGUGUGGACAGCUCAGGGCCUGGAGCCUACUCCAGAUUCUGUAUCUCCCUCUCUCUCUGCCCCUCCCCUGCUCACACUCUGUCUCUCUCCCUCCCCCAAAUAAAUAAACAUUAAAAAAAUUUUUUUAAAUCAUAGUAAUUAUACAUUUAUUUGUUUUUUUUUGUUUCUUACCUGUAUCCCUGACAAGAGUAUAAAGUCCACAAGGCAACAGAACAUUACGUAUUUUAUUCACCAGUGUGUACCCAAGAACAAGUACCAUACCUAGCCCCUGGAAGUUUUUAAAAAUAUUGACCACUAAUAAUAUAAAUUGAAUGAAUAGAUCAGUGUCAGUCUUUCAACAACAUGUUUCAACAAAACGGCCAAAUCAAGAUAAAACAUUGUCCACAAGUCACUGUUGUAGAUAUCAAUUUCCAAAGUGUAAACUAUUUUUGAAAGAGAUAAUCAACUAAUCCAAUCCAGGAGUUAAAGCAUGUUAAUUCUUGAGAACAAAGUGAUUCCAACUAGGCGAACAGUGAUUUGUGUUUCAGAAUUUUAUAUUCAUGUAAUGCAGGUGUCCCCCACUAUCUGAAAGUAGAGUGUUCUGGUGAAACUUUCAUAGGCCCAAAUGGCAUAAAGCCCAGUGUAUCUGCUGCUAAUUUAGGUCUUUCUUAAAAGUCGAGUGGUCUUUCCUAAACUUUCAGAAGGGAGGGGAUACCUGUAUUGAUUUAUUAAAGUUCACAAACUUUGUCAAGUUUUACCCAGAGAGAACUGGAGCAUGAGGACGCUGGCUUAACACGGUCCGGGAAUGUGAGUAAGGAUUGACCUACAGCUCAGUAAUGGGAGGCUCUGCCUGCCAUGUUAGGACCCUAAGCGCCAUUCACUUCACGUCCACAGAUAUUGAUCCGUGACUUACAGUGCUCCAGGUAGCAUGAUGGGAAUUAGACGCCGUUCUUGUAUUCAAUGGACCCAUAGUCUGUCAGAGGGAGAUAAGCUUGAUGACGUUGACAAGCACACACAUAGGAAUAUGGUCGCUGUGCUUUAGUCACUCAGAAGAGAGGUGGCUUGUUUCCCUGGUGUGCUGGGGACACUUCCCACCGGAGGUGGCCGUGGGGGUCAGCCCCUGAAGAGCCCAUGUUAUGGCCCUGGCACCUGCUAUUUCCACCCCCGGAAUAGAUCCUGGCCCUAGAUUUUCCAAACCCCCUCACACCACCUCAGAUUACCCCCUCAGUCACUAUUUCUCUGUUUUCUUCUUGGCACUUAACAUUAUCUGAAGUUAUCUUGAUGUUUUUUGGUUUCCUUAUUUGGUGUCUGUCUUAUCCUUCAAGUACAUAAGCUCUGUGAGAGCAGGAACCUAGUUUUCAUUGUGCAUUAGUGUAUGCACAGGGGCUAGAAAAGUGUCUGAGACAUAGAAGGAAACCAGUAAAUGCUUGUGGAGGGAUGGAAGGGCGUAGUAGCAUGAAGGAGCCAUUGGAGCUUCUUGAUUGUGAGAUGACAUGAUGAAAUUGUUCUGGAAAAGCCAUUCUGGCAGUUGGUUGAAGAUGAAUUGUGUGGGACAUAGACUUGGGACAAGAACAAUGAGGAGAUUCCUGCAGUAAGUUAGAUGUGAGUGCUACAGGUCAGGAAAGGGUUGUGGCAGGAGGAAAAACAUGUUGAAUCCAAGGCAUAUGUUGAGAGAAGAGACUCCACUCACUCUGGCCUGCCUUUUCAUCUUACAGACACAGCUCAUUCCCACCUCAGCUUUGUGGUUCUCCCCUCUUCCUACCGCCCCCCUUCCCCAGAUCUUUGCUUUUUUUUUUUUUUGAGAGAGAGAGAGAGAGAGAGAGAGAGGGAGAGAAUCUUAGGCAGGUUCCACACUCAGCAUGGAGCCCAAUGUGGCGCUCACCCCCACAACCCUGGGAUCAUGAACUGAGCUGAAAUCAAGAGUUGGAUGUUCAACUGACUGAGCCACCCAGGCAGCCCCAGGUCUUUGCAUUGUAUUUAGGUUUCUGUUAAUAUAUCAGAAGUUCUUUAUUUAGAGAGUUCUUUCCUGACCCCCUUAAGCAUCCCCACACUAUACCCUGGUUUUGAUUUUCUUCUAGCAUGCUUACCCCCUGUCAUUUACAUUAUAUAUACUACGUGACAUUACACAUCACAAGGACGUUCCUUGAGGCCAGGGGGCAAAAACUCCAUCUGCCUUGUCUACCACUGUAUCUCUAAUGGAUGACACAUCACAGGGGCUCAACACGUAUUUGCUGAGUGAAUAAAUAGAUUAGAUUGAGUAUGAUGGUGAUUAAUGAGAGAACCUAUCAAGGAAGACCUGAGUCACUAGGAAAUUAAAAUAACAAAAAUAGAGAGCUUUCCAUUAAGACAGACUCCGCUAAGCCUCUAUGUUGCCGCAUCGAACAGUACCUGACACAUAAUAGGCCCACACAAUAGACUGAUUUAAAGUGAAUGAAAGAACACUUGUUUGCUCUUCCAGUUACUGUAUUGAGAAACCAAUAAAAAUGAUGUCCUCAGUGAAGAACUUUCUUUCUUCAGAGAUUUGACUAAUUCAUACUGGUUCUCGCACUGUUUUAUAUGUACCAGUAAAGCUUUGCUGGAUUAAACUAAACCAUUCGUAUCACUGAUUCAUGGUUGCCCUGGGAAUUACAGUGAACAUCUCAUAAUACUCUAGUGUGAAUAAAUGACAACUUACUUUUAAAAGUAUAUAAAACUUUGCUCCUUUAUAGCCUCAUUCUCUCCCCCUCCUUCACAGUUAUUGUCAUAAAAAUUAUGUUUUUAUGCAUUUUUCACCAAUCAACACAGAUUUAUACUUAUUGUUUUAUAGAGUUGUCUUUUAAAUCAAAGAGGAGAAAACAAGUUACAAACAAAAAAAUACAUCUAUACUGUCUUUCAUAUUUGCAACGUCAUCGUUACCAGUUUAUUUCUCCAUAUGGAUUCAAGUUAUUAUCUAGAGUACUUUCACCUAAGCCUGAAGGAAGGAUUCCCUUUAAUAUUUUUUGUAGGGCAGGUUUGCUACUGACAAAUUCUCUCCAUUUUUGUUUAUCUUGGAAUGUCUUAAUUUCUCUUUCAUUUUUAAAAAACGUUUAUUUAUUGUGUGAGAGAGAGAGAGUGCAAGCAGAGGAGGGGCAGAGAGAGAGAGAGAGAGGGAGAGAGAGAAUCCAAGCAGGCUCUGCACUGUCAGCACAGGGCUCAAUCCCACAAACCCAUGAGAUCAUGAUCUGAGCUGAAAUCAAGAGUUGGACAUUUAACCGACUGAGCUACAGGUGCCCCUCGCUUUCAGUUUUGAAGGGUAGUUUUGCUAGACAUAGAAUUCUUGUGGCAGUCUUUCUGUCAGUACUCUGAAUAUGCCACCCCACUGCCUUGUGGCCUCCUUGGUCAUGGAUGAGAAAUCAGCUGUCAAUCUUAUCGAGACUCCCUUACACAUGAUAAGUCCCUUUUCUCUUGCUGCCUUCAAGAUUUUCUCUUUGUCUUUAGCAUUCAGCAGUUUGAUUAUGAUCUAAAUGUUAAUCUCUUUCUGUGUAUCCUACUUGGAGGAUCUUUCUUUCUUUCUUUCUUUCUUUCUUUCUUUCUUUCUUUCUCUUUCUUUCUUUCUUUCUUUCUUUCUUUCUGUUUUUAGCUUCUUGGAUGUGUAGAUUGUUUUUCAUGAACUUUGGGAAGUUUUCAGUCAUUAUUUCUUCAAAUAUUUUUUCUAUCUCUUUUUGUCCUUUUCUGGAACCAUCAUUAUGCGUAUUUUGGUAUGCUUGAUGGUGUUCCACAGGUCACUGGGAGUUCUGUUCAUCUUUCUUUUUUUUUUUUUUUUUUUUUCUUUUCCUCAGACUGUAUAAUCUCAAUUGACGUAUCUUAAAAUUUAUUGCUUCUUUCUUCUGCCAGCUUAAAUAUGCUGUUGAACUCCUGUAAUGAUUUUUUACAUUUCAUUUUUUAUAUUUUUUAACUUCAGAGUUCCUAUCUGGUUCUUUCUUAUAAUUUCUAUCUAUUUAUUUGGUAAGACAUCCUUCUCAUACUUGCUUUUAGUUCUUUAGACAUAGUUUUUUUUAGUUCUUUGGGCACAUUUAAAAUAGCUGAUUUGAAAUCUUUGUCUAGUGUAAGUCUAAUACCUUGGCUUCCUCAGGGACAGUUUCUAGUGACUGUUUCUUCCCCCUGAAAAAAGGCCAUAUGGGCCAUAUGUUCCUGUUUCUUUGCAUGUUUUAUAUUUUUUUUAUUGAAAAUUGGACAUUUAAAAAAUAUAAUUUGGUAGUUUUGGGAACCAUUGUAUCCCCUCUCAGCAUUUGUUGUUGCUGCCGAUUUGGUUAGUAGCUUUUCCGAACUAAGUCUGGAGUUUAAUUCUGUAUACUUUGUCAUGUAUGGCCACUGAAGUCUCUGCCCAUUUAGUGUUGUGGUCAGUUAAUGAUUGGAUAGAAAUUUCAUUAAAAUGUGUGGGACUAAUAAGUCUGCCGAGGAGCCCUGUGUGAGUAUUUGGGGGCACACCUUCAACAUUUGGAUAGGCAGUUUCCAACUCUUAGUCUUCACUUCCUGCUUGCGUGCAGGCUCACCGUCAGCCAGAGGUGAGAAUUUAGGCCCUUUCUCAGGUCUUUCCUGAGGUUUAUGGCCCUGGGCAUGCACGAAGCCUUCUAGAUUCCCAGGAAUAUAUGAAAGCUUUUCAAAGUUCCCUAUAGAUGUUUCACUCCCCAGCUUUUUCUUUAAAGCUUUUUGGUCAGCCUGUUUGACCCAGCUGUUAUCUGCCACCUUGGGCAGCUGUAAUGUUUUCAGCUAAUGCUUCUGGGGAAAGGGCUCUUCAUAGUGGGUAAGUUCCAAGUCAGUCCAAAUAAAGACGGUUUUGUGAGUGGGGUCUUCUAAGAACCACCAGAGAGAUCAAAUAUUGCCAGUUCUCUGAGAAUAGAAAUUUAAAGGAGCCCCAGCUCCAUUCUGCCCCCUCCAGUGGUUGCAAGGAUGCUGGUUUUCACCGUGCUUGAGGGUCGUUGGUUAUCAAGGCUACUUUUGGGUUGGGGAGGCGAAUUGGAGAUAGAGCAAGUUAAAAUGUCACAAAGCUUGUCAGUCUUGCUGAGAUUCAGCCUUUUUUCUUUCUUUCUUUUUGAGAGAGCACAUGCAUGUGGAGGAGGGGCAGAGAGAGAGAAUCCCAAGUAGGCUCCACACUGACAGUGUGAAUUUUUACAUUUCAUUUAUAUUUCACUGACAGUGUGGAGCCCUAUGCGGGGCUUGAUCUCACGAACUGCGAGAUCAUGACCUGAACCGAAACCAAGAGUCAGACACUUAACUGACCGAGCUGCCCAGGCACCCCUCAGCCUUUUUUUCUCAAAUAAACUCUUCUCAGAUUGCCGUAACUCUUUGACUAAUUUCCAGAGUUGUGAGAAAGUAGAUUCUGACAAUUUUUGCAAGUGUUCUCACUGCUUUUAUUGAGAUUUUUCAGAGGCCCACUCUCUGCCAGUUUUGCUGCUAUCCCUCCACAGAUUCUUUCAGUGCAAUUUAUCCUUUCCUUGACAUAAACUACUAUUUUCGAAAUAUUGACCACCUAAAGCCACAAAGUGUUUAGAUUUAUUCUAAAUUUUCAGGAACUGAGUUUUCUGAGACAAACGUUUACUUGUAUAAAACUACCAAGGAAACAAGGCAAUUUAAGUAGGUACAAACAGAAAGCCACAGAGAAAAGAUAAAUUGUUCGUGGCUGUCUACAACUUUCACCAUUACUUAUGUCUUUUUGCUUUUUGUUUUAGCAUGGACCUGGUUACUUUGAAAAUACCUGGUUAAGGUUCACCUGUGUGUCUGUUUCCCAUCUCCUCCCCGGGCUUGGGUAAGCUUGAAACAGUGUAAGACUGAAGCAGUCUUCAGCAGCCCCUUCACUGUUGGCCAUCUUUGUUGUAUUAGUCAGCUUGGGCUGCCAUAAUAAAAUACCACAGACUAAAUAACAGGAUGGCUUAAAACAGAAUGGCUUACUGGCAGAAAUAACAGCAAUUGACUUUCUCAUAGUUCUGGAAGUUUGAUGUCCCAGAUCAAUCAGUGCCAACAAGUUUGGUUUCUUCUGAGGUCUCUCCUUGGCUUGCAGAUGGCCACCUUCUUUUUUUAUUUAUUAUAUUAUAUUAUAUUAUAUUAUAUUAUAUUAUAUUAUAAUUUAUUUAAAUUCAAGUUAGUUAACAUACAGUGUAGUAUUGGUUUCAGGAGUAGAACCCAGUGAUUCAUCACUUAAAUAUGACACCCAGUGCUCAUCCCAAGUGCCCACCUUAAUGCCCAUUUAGCCCAUCUUCUUAUUAUGUCCUCCCAUGGCUUUUCCUCUGAUCACAUAGGCUCCUUCCUAUAAGGACACCAGUCCUAUUGGAUUAGGGCCCCAUACUUGUGACCUCAUUUAAUCCUAAUUACUUCCUCAAGGUCCUGUCUCCAAAUACAGUCACAAUGGGGGUUAGGUUUCAACAUAUGAAUACUGGUGUAGCGGGAGGAGGAGGGGGCACAAUCCAAUCUGUAACAAGUGUCCAACAUGCAAUAAGUAGGUUCUCCAUAAACAUUUCUAUUGAUGAUAUGCAUCCUCUUUUGUCCCGUGUCCUUUAUCCCUCUGUGACACGUCCCAAACUAGGCACAGUGGCUUCUGGUCUAUUGGGAGAGCAGCACUGUGUGGAGCUUCCAGAGAAAUCUCAAUGCCACAGUUCAAAUCCCCACUCUGGUACCAACUAGGUCAGUUAACUCACUUUCUCUGACUUUUGUAUUCUCGGGUGCUUUGGCUCUAUUCUCUUUCACUUCGCUCUACCCUCUAGGCCCUAGACUUUAUACCGACUCCUACUCUAAACCGUCUUUACUUCAGCCUCUGUGUAGCACAUCUAGGGGUCCACUAGUAAAAUAUAUCCUGGUACAUGCACUGAUUAAACACUCCUGAGUGGUCUCCAUCUCCAUCUGGGUAACAUAUGUGUUUUCAGAGAUGCUGUCCCUGCUAUGGCUGCUCAGGCAAGAGUGGCAUUAGCAUUGCUGGGCAAUGUAGUUCAGGAGGGAAGGGAAGGUGCAGUGUGGGCUAGUGGCGAGAUAACAAGGGGUAGACCAGAAGCUGGGAGUCCCCUCACAUAUACUUACUUCACCAACUUUCGCCGAGAAUCUGCUUUGUUCUGGGCGCUGUGCAAAGUGAUGGGCCAGAGCUCCUAUCAGUGGCUUCUCUGACCAAAGGAUUGGACUUGGCAUAAACUACAGCACUGUAGUGGAAAAAAUAGCCUGAAUUUAAGUCUUGGGUUUAUUGUUUAUUUCUUUCUGACCAUAGACAAGCCACUUCGUUUCUCAGAAUCUUAGUUAUUCCAGAUUUAUUUAUUUAUUUAUUUAUUUAUUUAUUUAUUUAUUUGAGUUUAUGUAUUUAUUUUGAGAGAGAGAGAGAAAGGAAGAGAGUGAGGAAGGGGCAGAGAGAGAGAGGGAGAGAGAGAAUCCCAAGCAGGCUCCACAACACAGGGUUAAAUUCACCAACUGUGAGAUCAUGACCUAAGCUGAAAUCAAGAGUCAGAUGCUCAACCAACUAAGCCAUCCAGGUUCCCCUAAGUUAUUCUGUUUUUAUUUUUUUAUUUUACUACUGUUUUUAAUAUUUCUUUAUUUUUGACAGAGAGAGAGAGAGGCAGAGAGAGAGGGAGACACAGAAACCAAAGCAGGCUCCAGGCUGUGAGCUGUCAGCACAGAACCCAGCAGGGGAUUGAACUCAUGAAUCCUGAGAUCAUGACCUGAGCUGAAGUCAGAUGCUUAACUGACUGAGCCAGCCAGGUGGCCCAGUUAUUCCAUUAUUAAAAUAACGGAUGGGUCAGGUGAUCUAUAUGCUUAGUUCUACCAUGUUGGCUCUCAUCUUCUAGAAUUCUCUACUGGGAGUGUGGAUUCUGCCUAAGGAAGAAUCUGUAUCUUUAAUGUUGAUUUCAGCACAUGGCCACUCCAGCUGGGAUGAUGGGAGGAGAGAGAUACAUACAAGCGGUUAAUGUUUGGGGGAGAAAGUUAACCCUACAGUUCAUUCAGAAAACAUGGAAGUGAACUUUUAAAGGAACCAAAUGUUUGCAUUCUUAUGCUAUCCUUCGAUGAUAUUAUUCACGAAUAGCUCACAUACGGUGAGAAAGAACUCACCUUCACAGUUUAGGCAAAGAGAGGUCCAUUGUGGGUUAUUAAUCCUAAAGAAAUUCAUAGUAAAUGCAGACUUAAGAGGCAAAACUCUCGUUUGCCCAGUGUCACAGAUGAAGUAUCACAUGUUGAUGUGUUGCAAUGCAGGAGCCAUGUUUUGUUAGCUUCCCUAUUCCUAGCACCAGGCUGCACAGAAUGGACAUUCGAUGGACACAAUAGUCCUUGUUCUCCAAAUGGAAUUUUCUUCACCUUACCUGCUGAAAAAGAGAGGUAAAAUCAAGACCCAAUUUUAAUACUGACUUUGUCCCUUAAAUUGUUGGAGAACUGGAUUUCAUUAUUUUCAACAAAUUCAGUGGAAAUUGUCCUCACCUUUGGAAUAAACAAUUUAAGCCUUUGGCUCCCCAGAGCCUCGUGUUCAGUCUAACCGCCUUGGUGGCAGCCUUCAGGGACAGCUUGUAUGUCUGAGGGUGGCAGCAGAUAACAAGAGGGAGGAGGCUCAGGCUGCUGGCUAGAGCUGGAUUCACGGUCAGGCUCUGUCACUCACAAUUUGUAACCCCGGCAAGGUGUUAAUCUCUCGAAGUUCACUUUCCUUAUCUGUCAAAUGGGGAUGAUACUGUCACCUACCUCACAGAGUCACUAUGAAGAUCAAUUUUAAAAAGGCCGGAAAGUAUACAGUGGCUGGCAUGCAAGUUAAAAGCACAGAAAAUCUUAGCUUGAAGAACUGACAGUAAUGGACAGGAAGAACUUUUCUAUUUCUUUUAUUUUUUCAAGAUCCACACAGCCUACUAUAAUAAUAAUUGUUAUUAUUAUAUUUUUAUAACUAGUUUUAAUAGCAUGAUUAUUUUUAUAAUUAUUUUAAAUAUUAUUGUCGUAUUUGGGGACUUUAAGCCUUUGUACUUUAACAUAAUUGAGAAACUUGGAUGCUUGUGAACUAUGGGUACUCAACCAACCUGGGAAGUCAUUAGUUUGUCUUUUAGGUGUCCUUUUAGAAAGUCUCAUAAACCACCAUCUCUUAUCAUUGGGGUGCUUACAAAGGUCGGAAAAAACAAGUCAAAAGAUAGAUGCAGUCAAAGAAGGUCAGAAAAAGAAAAUACCAAUAAGAGCCUUAAUUCUUUUAAAGAACAUUUACUCUCAUCUCAUACAUUUGUGUUUAUAAACAGCAGCAUAUUCUCUAUGAAAUAAUGCUUAAAAUCGUUGAGGAUUUACAUGUAAUUUCUUCAAAGCCUUCCCAGGAAAUAAAACAUAAAUAAGUUUUUGAUACUGAUAUAAAUAUUUUUAAAGUCUUUCCAAACCAGUGAACCUAAACACUUCCUUUCUUUGUGCCUUGCCCGCCUUCCUCCUUCAAAUGAGUACUGUUGUUAUCUUUAGAUCCCAACGGUGCUUUGGAUUUAUGUACUGAUGAUUAGAGAGUAAAAUUUUAAGAGUCUUCUCUCUAAAGUUUUUAGAAAUACAGUAGUCUUCCUUAUCCACAGGGAUAUAUUCCAACACCCCCAGUGGGUCCUCAAAAUCAUGGGUAGUGCUGGGGCGCCUGGCUGGCGCAGUCGGUUAAGCGUCCGACUUCAGCCAGGUCACGAUCUCGCGGUCCGUGAGUUCGAGCCCCGCGUCGGGCUCUGGGCUGAUGGCUCGGAGCCUGGAGCCUGUUUCCGAUUCUGUGUCUCCCUCUCUCUCUGCCCCUCGCCCAUUCAUGCUCUGUCUCUCUCUGUCCCAAAAAUAAAUAAACGUUGAAAAAAAAAAUUAAAAAAAAAAAUCAUGGGUAGUGCUGAACCCGACAUAUACUAGGUUUCUUCCUAUACAUACCUACCUAUAAUAAGGUUUAAUUGAUAAAUUAGGUACAUUAGAGAUUAACAACAGUAAUAAUAAAUAGGCAAUUAUAAUAAUAUAACUGUAAUAAAAGUUAGGUGAAUGUGGUCUCUUUCUCUCUCAAAAUACCUUUUUGUAAAAAAAAAAAAACAAAAAAAAAUAAAAAUACCUUUUUGUGUUAUAUUCAUGUUUCUUGAGAUGAUAGGAGGUGAUAAAAUGCCUACGUGAGGAGAUGAAGUGAGGUGAAUGGUGUAGGUGUUGUGACACAAUGUUAGGCUACUACCGACCUUCUGAUGAUAUAUCGGGAGGAUUACCUACUUCCAGAAACUGCAAAUGAUGGGAAACUACUGUAUUUUAAACCACUACAGCCAGGUAAAGAGAGAUUGUCUGAAAAUCAAGCUAGCUUUGCCUCAAAUUAUCAGAAAUUUAGUGAGCACUGAUUCCUUUAGAAUCCCCAAAGAAAUCUUUUUUUUUUUCUCCCAAAGAAAUCUUAAGCAGGGUCGCGGUGAUCUUGGAGAAGGGAGAAAAAUAUGAGCUAUGUGCUAGAGAAAGGUUUUGGUCAAAAUUCUAUUAAAAACAGGAAGGUUAAUCUGCCAGGACCUGAUUAAGCUUCAUUGGAUCAAAUACACAGCUCAUGAUUACCAUUUUUUCUAGAGAACUUUGGGGGUAAGAAAUGAAUGACCUGAUAUCUACACUUGUUGAGAUGCCAGAGAUUGAAGUCACAAUAACCUGGAGUUGAGUGAGGUGUCCUAGCUGCUCUAUUUGCAGAGGAUUUUUCCAUGGACCAGAGGCUUCUCUGAAGUUUACAUACAUGUACAACUUCCUGUGUCCACUCCCUGCAGACCCGAGGCCUCCCUCAUUAUCUGGGACUCCAGAUCUCACCCACCUUGUAACAGUUACACUCACAAUUUUUCCUGAGUCAGGGGACGGGGUCAGUGAAAGCACAGAACAAGACUAGAGGUCUAAGUAAAUGAAAUGACCCUGCUAUUUUCUUUCCCUCUGCUGGCAUAGCCUUCUCCUGAGUGUCUCACUCAAAUAUGGGAUUGGUUGUUGUUGUUGUUGUUGUUGUUUUUAAUUUUUUUUUUAACGUUUAUUUAUUUUUUUGAGAGACAGAGACAGAGCAUGGGCUGGGGAGGGAACAGAGAGAGAGGCGGAGUCACAGAUUCCGAAGAAGGCUCCAGGCUCCGAGCUGUCAGCACAGAGCCUGAUGCAAGGCUCGAACUCAUGAACCACGAGAUCAUGACCUGAGCCGAAGUCGGGUGCUUAACCGACUGAGCCACCCAGGCCCCCCCAAAUAUGGGAUUGUUUUUAAAAAACGUCUCAAGCCAGACAAUAACCUUUGGUUCACAGUGAAUGGACCAAAUGCCCAUCAGUAAUAGAAUGAUUAAUCUGAGCCGUGUUCAACACAGUGGGAUGCAUUGCAGUGGUUAGAAGGAGCCACCUGCUCCUUCAAUAUGGGUGACUCUCAUAAACCACAAUAUGGGUGACUCUGAUAAACAUGGCAUUAAGUGAAAGAAGCCAGGCACUAUAGGGUAUACGCUAUUUUCUUUCUUUUAUAUAAAACCCAGAAACAGGCAAACUAAUCAGGUAGGUCUCCCUUUGGGGAAGGAGGUAUAGGAGGGCCUUCUGGGGUGCUGGUGAUAUAUUUUUUUUAACAUUUAUUUAUUUUUGAGAGACAGAGAGAGAGAGUGUAAGUGGGGGAAGGGCAGAGAGAGAGAGAGGGAGACACAGAAGCCGAAGCAGGCUCCAGGCUCUGAGCUGUCAGCACAGAGCCUGACACGGGGCUCAAACCCAUGAACCUGAGCCGAAGUCAGACACUUAACUGACUGAGCCACCCAGGUGCCCUGAUACUCUGUUUUUUGUUGUUGUUAUAGUUCUGAGUGCUGGUCACAUAGCUGUGUUCUUUGUUAAAAUUCACUAACCUGUACACUAAUAACACAUGCCCCUGAUGUAUUCGUAAUUUCAUUAAAAAGCUUUUUAAAAUGAUAUAUGGAAGGGUGCCUGGGUGGCUCAGUCGGUUGAGCAUCUGACUUUGGCUCAGGUGAUGAUCUCCUGGUUCACAAGUUGGGUUUCUUAGAGUCGCCAAAUUUUAGAGGGCAGCUGAGGUAGAACAGAUGUGAGGGUGCUGGGGCACAGGUCACACAAAGGCCUUUUGAGCAUCGAAAUGCUUGUAGUUCUGUGAGUGUUCUAUUUGUUCUUUGUUUUUAUACUGAUUGGUUGUUUUAUACUGAUUGGUAGAUGAUCGCUGUUGUCCCAUGAGUUUUAACAAACAAGAAAGAAAAGCAAAUAAAUGAAUUGAGCAAUAGAGGCAUCUUUUGUUAAAAUAUUUGGAUUUUGUCCUCAGUUCUUGAAAUAGCUUCAGAGUAAUAAAUGUGAGGUGGAUAUUUUUUGUUAUUCAUAACAAACCCUUGUUAACCACAUCUGUGUUUAUGUUAAUGGAGUGACUUUUGGAAAGCCCCUAGGUCACCACUGGAUGGGGACUGGUUGCCAAGAGAACCAGUUAUGAUUAGAAGGUUGGAACUUCCCAUGUGGGAAGGGGAGACAGGCUGGAGGUUGAAUUCAUCACCAAUGGCUAAUGAUUUGAUCAAUCAUGCCUAUGGAAUGACGCCUCUAUAACAAGCCCAAAGGACAGGGUUUAGGGAGCUUCCAAGUUGGCUAGGAAGGUGGCACACUGGGAGAGGGCAUAGAAACUCCACACCCCUUCCCACAUACUUUGUUCUCUGCAUCUCUCCCAUCUGGCUUUCCUGAGUUAGACCUUUGGCUUUGAGUGUCCCUCUCUUGCAACCCUGGCUCAGAAGUCUUCUUUGGUACCUGAAAUUGACUUCAAAGCAGAGCUAGAGAGUUCCUCCCUGUAUGACCAGGGCUCCUGUAUCAAAAGCCAGAUUAAGCCUAUUCAUUUUGUGUGACCUCUCAAGCUAGCACCUUGCUUAGAUUUCAUCCUACACAAAGACCUACGAUUCAUUGAAGACCGAAAACACUUCAUGGUUUUUCCAAAUCUGCCCCCUGGUAUAUGAAACAAAUUUCAUGCAAAACGAGAUAAUUUCUCAGGAUGCUUGCCUUUCCAAUGCACAUUGCCAAAAACUGGCACUGUCUUGGUUAGCGAGAGCACGGGGGUCAUCUACAUUAAACACCAUACCCUUGUGUGCUUCUGCUGAAGGGUCUGCCUUAGCCAUAUCUGGUACGCAGGAUCCUCUUUCUCUCCAUCCCCACCCCCCAAGGCACUUGUGCAGCCAUAGAAAAUGGCCUGGGAUGGGCUGUUGACCCAGGGUCAUGCAUAGUCUGUCUAGCUCAAAAUAAUGAGCUCAUCCCAGGAAUUUCAAUGAAAAAUAUCGAGAGGAUGAGUUAGCACCAGGAGCUGAAUCACAAAGGGACAUAUUCAGGAGUGGAUGAAGCCAGGACCAUGCAGGGCCCAUGGUCAUGACAUCCAAAGUUUGGGGCGAGGAGGAGUGACACCCUAAGCACCAGCCAGGAGGAAAAAUAAGACUGAACAAGCGGGAAAGAACACGGCAGAAGGUGGAAGAGCAGGAAAAGAGUAGCUGAGAAUAUUUCCUGAAUAUUCUUUCUUUUCCUGCGUUUCUGUGCACUCCUUAGAAUAAGGAAUAAACGUCCGUUCUUUGUAUGUGACCUGGAUAAAUAUCUAUGUCUUGCAUCCAAAGCCCAGAAAAGUUGGAGCAGAUGCACACACUGCUCCCUUCUUUCCGCCCAGUGAUUGGGAGCAGGUGUGGAGGAAUCCCAGAUUAUUCUUGUUAUGGAUUUUCGGUGCUGAUAGGGCUUGCUAACUCAUCAGUGACCCUACAAACUUUCCAGGCCUCAGAUGGACAGGUCUCUAAAUUACAAGACUAAAUAAUUAUACCUCACUGAGUUUCCUCAUUCCCGGCUCCCUUCCAGUUUAUAGACAGGGCCCUCCUUCCGGGUGAGAAAUGGCUUGGGGGAAUAAAGGUCAUUGAUUCUCAUGGCUUUUCUUCCUGUGAUUUGUAAGGAGGGGGAGGAAGGAAUUCCUGAAGAAGGCAUUUUGCAUUUCUGUACAAGAAGAAACUAGAAAAAGUCCAUCACCUUGCAGCACUGACUAUUCUUUGAUUUUGCAUGAUCAUGCCGUUAGGCAUUAAAAGAAAAAAGGCCCAAGCAGCAGUGCUGAAUUUUAGGGCACUCCUAGCUCAUCUGGUGCUUGCUGUUUAGACUGGAUGGUUCUGGGCGGGAUGGAUGCAAACUUCAUCCCUGCAACCGAACGGUGGGGGUGCCCACAUCAGCCCGAGGGCAGAACUGCCAGAUCCCGGACUGUGUCUCCCCAGUGUGCCUGUCACCGGUCUGUCUUCCAAGCGGGGCUUUAUUGCACAAAUGAAUGCUUUAUGGCUUUUUUGCACUUGGAAGUUCACUGAAGGUUGAUUGAUUCAGUUAGUUGCUCUUAAAAAGAGUUCUCUCAUUGUAAACUUGCUUUGUGAGAUGAAUUUAAAACAAGCCAGGCUGAUCUGACUAGCUCUGCCUCUCUCCUUGUCUACCGCCUGAGAAGCAUUUGAAGCUGUUUGCCGAGGAAAUCGUUUUCUUCAAACGUUCAUUCCUUUCCGUCUUGUGGAUAAUCGGACUGUUAAGGCCCCACCGCUUGCUGCUUUCCACCUGUAAAAGCAAUUGGAAUCUGGGCUGUGGGCUGAAGCAGUUAACAGGGUGUCCCCUCCACUCUGGGGAGAGGCCCCCUGAAUGGGAACAGUCCAGAAAUUCCUAACUGCCAGGCUACUGCAGGUGCCCUCCUAACUUGAGGCGCUCUGACUUAUUUCUCUCACCCCACUUCUGAGAGGCUCAGGAGCCCAGUUCCGUCCCGGAGAGGGGGGCAGCAUGUGGCUGGGACUUAGAAAGGCUUACAGAGAGAAGAAAAGAGUCCCAUGUUUUCCCUGCCAAACAUGAAACAGAGGCCCGCUUGUGCCCCUUCUCUCCGGUCAUCCUGCCUCUGUUCCGGAAUAAUUUGCUCCGUGAAGAGUGGGCAGGGGCCCCAAGUUGCAGCUCCCUCCCCACCCCCACCCCCACCCCCAUAGCUGUUCUUUCAUCCCUGUGGUAAUUCCCAUCCGAGGAAUGUCUCUGGUUUACCUCAGAAUAAACCCCCUUCAGGAAGAAGUGUCCAAACAACCCUCCAAAACAAUAGUGCUGAUGAGCGUGGUGGCAUUCCUUCCCUAGUGGGAAGGGGGAUGGUCCCGAAGAUGAAUUAACCCUGUUGCUAAGCAACCGUCUCUAACCCCAGUCCCAGAUGAGCAAGAUGAGAAAGAACCAGGCCACUGAUUUCCCAGUCUCUGCUCAUUACCAGUCACGGCUUUGUCUGAACUGAGGGCGUGCAGAUGUCCUCGGGCUUGCUCUAGUGGCAAUGCUGGCUUUCAUGACAGAGUGACAAAACAGCCGUGGCCUGGAAGCGGGCUGGGUCACUUCCUGCAGCCCUGAUGAAGUGUCCAAGGCAGCGAGGCUAUGCCAGAGACCAGCCCUGUACAGCGCAGCUCUCUAUACCUUUUCUCAAGCCACACAACCCUGGGCGCUGAGUGCCAGUUACGCUUGACAGAUGAUGGGCUUGAAGCUCAGAGAGAUGCAGCGACUGGGCUAAGGUCGCCCAGGAAGUGAGCAGCUCAUUUACCCGGCUCUGUCUGGGAGAAAGCACGGCGGUCCCCCCACGUCGUCAGCUGCGGUUGCCAGGCUUCUGCCGCACCGCUGGGGAAGAAGAGUGGGGGCAGCCACGCAGGUACUGGUGUUCGUUAUCAGACUAAAUAUUUGCAGAUGAAGAAGGCCUGCGGAGCUGCUCACCAGCCGGUCACGAUGUGAUUUCUUUCUGGUCACACAGCAGCUUACCGUCCGUCCACGUAGUUACGCUCAUCUGGAGUUGAGGGAGAGGCUGAGCCUUCCCCGCUUGGCGCGGGAGGGAUGAAGUCAGGUCUUCCUGGCGGGUGAGGAGUGUUACCCUCUUACUUCCUCUCAAUGCAGCCCCCCAGUCUCUGGGCCAACAGCAACCCCGAGGCCCUGCGACUCGAAUUUACUACACUUUUUCUUCCUGAAAGCUCUUCUCAUCCUCCCAGACUCUUCUCAGUGGAGCCUUCGUGACUGUUCCCCUCCCUGUUCUCAGAGCGCUCUGGGUGACGGGGUGGCCACCGUGGUCCCGCACGCAGGUUCCCGUGAUGGGCGGACGUGUUGCCCGACUGCUGGAAGCUUUGCCGGCCGACGGUCUUCAGCCGCCUGGCUCCCCAGGGAUGGCCCCGGCUGCCUGAGUCGUGCCCCAUUCCGGGGGCCCCAGCCAAAGAUUAAUCAGUGCAGUGACCUUCCCUUGGCCUAACUCUGUGAGGCCUUUCUAGCACCGGCGCUGACUGUGGGUGGCAGAGGCCAUCACCAGGCCUACGCUGCCGUUGGACAUCCCCCUCUCCCCAUCCUGCAUCCCUCCCUGCCCUUCCGCACGUGUGGAUCCCAAGGGCACCCUGCACGCUCAGCUCUGUCUCAGCGUCUGCUUCCUGUAGCGCUCACCUGCCACAUUCUCCCUUAGACCUUCUCUGUACGUGACUGUCCUGCCCUUUAGACUGAGCUCCUUAAGGGCAGGGGCUGAACCUUGUUUAUUUCCCAACCCACAGUGCCCAGGGCAGGCGUGUAGUAGGUCCUCAGGAGAAGUUUGAGGAUAAAUAAAUGCAGUCGUUUACAAGCUGUUGUGAGACAGAGGAAAUGAAAGGCGGGAUAGGGCACCUCAUUCAGUGCCUUUUGUUUACUGUCGCCUUCCCAGAAGAGUAUGAGUUUCUCUUAUCCUGUCCUCCCCUCCCCUGCGUCACUUCCCACAGGCAACUCCAGUCUCCAAACCGGGAUUUCCCCCCAGACUCCAUCUGUCUUUCUGGACUAAAAACUGGGUUCGGGAUGUGGUCUCUCAGGAGCUGUUGAAGUAACAGGAGAAGCCAAUGUGUGGGCUGGAGGCUGCUUAUUCCAGAAGAACGACCUUGUGCUCCCCGGCUCUCUCCACGUGUAGACAUUUUUCUCUUAGUUGAUUCCUAUUUAUCUCAACCUUGGCACUUUUCAUUAAAUACUCUGUUUCAGGUGAGGUCAACGUGUUGCUGACACCUAGCCAGGCCCGUCCCAGGGCUCUCAGGAGGUGGCACCCGUGGGGUUGGCGCUUGUGGAGGGAAAUGCCAUGUUGAGCUGGGACACAGUUAGCAAUCAAGACGAGGGACUUGGGCAGAACAGCAAUUCCUUUCCACGAUCCUUCCUGGAAGACACUUCAGGGACAGGUGCUCCCAUCUCCAUUACCCCCACAGAGUUAGGAGGAAUGGGCAGUUCUCUGAAGGGAGAAGCUCUGAUAAGCUUCACAUGAGGGACCCCAGCGGGCACGCUGAAGAAAGCUUCGUGGGUCUCAAGUCACAACCCUGACUGAUCCUGGGAUUAUUGUGUCAGGAGCUUCAGUACUCUACCCCAGGUGCACUUUUGAAUAGCCUGGGCCCAGCCACCACGGCUGUAGAGGCUCCUCGCUGGGCCUCCUUGAGGACUGGAAGGAAAUUGGCCCAAAGGAAAAAUUGACUGGGAGUCUUAUCCCCUCACGGAGGACUCUCCUCCUCUCCUAAGCAGGCCAGGCACUUUCCUCGUGUCAUCUCAGGCCCAAAGUGGCUCCCUGUGACGUGACAUUGGAGGCCCCCCCGAGGGAGGACAUUCCUCUGAUCUGCAGUCGUGCAGCUGUGCUUGUGUGGGGAUCAACACAUAAACAAGAGCCGCCCAGGCGGCAUGGCAGACUCCUAAGGUAAUCAGAACGCAUUUUUAUCUGUAGUCUCAGCAUUCUUCACGAUCUGUUUACUGUUGGUAAUUCUUCCCUGCCCCUGCACGAGAACUCCAGCAGGCCCCAAAAUGUUUUUGCUUAUUAAGUAGGAGACAAUCCUUGAGUCCUUUUAGGCUUCAAGUGCUGACUUAGCCCAGCAAUGAGCGUGUCUAGUUCCCAAGAGCAGUCAACAUCCUGAACCCAGUAAGAGGCCAAACCUUGUCUCCUUCCCCAGUGGCUGCCUGUGGGCUGGAAGCCAGCUGUGGGGAACUGGGUGGCAGUCUGGUUGACUUCUCCUCAGUCUCUCUGUGGCUGGCCCAUGGGCUCAUGGCACAGGGGAGGACGAGGAAAAAGGUGAGGAAAAGUCUCACUUCAUGGAUGGAAUCGUCAUAAACUGGCCUCACCUUUCAGGGACGACCAGUCAUCUAAAGCCGGCUCUCCCUCUCUUGGGGUGUUCUCAUGAGCCACUUAUAGGUUCCCCCCGGACUCCCCACUGUGACAGUGCCCUUGGCCUCCACAUCAGGACAUUUCCAUUUCAAGAGGUUAUUGACACUCCUUUUUCAGCCUUUAGUCAUUUACCUCCAACUACUCUCUACUAGAGUCUCUCUGCACUUCACAGAGGUGCAAGAUCCUUAGGCCAAGAUCCUAGGUGACCCCACAUGAGAUCUCUCUCCUUAAAGUCCAUUGUCCCAACACUACACAACUCUUACCCCAACAAGCCUGGUGUUUUGGCCAAUCCUGCCACGGUAGCAGUCUCCUGGCUCAGCUUCCAAAGCUGGGGGCUCAGUCAGUUGACUGUCUGACUCUUGAUUUCUGCUCAGGUCAUGAUCUCACAGGUUGGGAGAUCGAGCCCUGUGUUGUGUUCUGUGUUGAAAGUGUGGAUCCUGCUUGAGCAAUCUCUCUCUCUCUCUCUCUCUCUCUCUCUCUCUCCCUCUUUCUGCCGCCCCCCAAAACCUAUGGCUCACAGGGAUGAUGCUACCAAUAAACUUGUUGUUUACCUCAUAGAGUCAAGAUCACUAGCAAGAGGACAAAGUCCCAGAUUUAGUCAUUAGUGAAAAGGCAAUCUUUUUGGCAAUCUUGCUUAUAAAACUCAAGGAACUGAGCUGUGCAAACUCGUGACCACAGCUCUGCCCCUGUGGACUGAGGGGGAGAAAGAAAGGCUGGAAAUGGACUCAGAUGUCAGUUUGGGUCACAGCAGAGGUGGAAGGGGGUGGAUAACAGGAAAAUCUUCUGCUCUUUGAGCAGCAGUGUGGUCAAUGGCAUGGAUUCUAGACCCAGGUAGCUCUGGAUUUGAAUCCCAGCACCUGCUGACCACCCAUGAUGUGUGUAAUUUGGGGUAAAUAUUUCACGACCUUGAACCUCAGCUUCUUUGGUAAAAUGUGGAUGUCCCUUACCUCACGUGGUGCAUUCAUGAUAACAAGAUGAGAUUUUAGGUGGAAAGUGACUGCACAGUGACUGGCACCUGGCAAGCUCCCCAUAAGUCAGUUCAGCCCCACCAGAUGCUGUGUUUUACGGCGACUCAGGAGAAGAACUCUGAAGAGGUCAUACAUGUUACCCUGGUGAAAGUCACAGCAAAACCUUUCAACCCUGAGCUGGAAAAGCAGGGACGUAAGAAAAGGUAUUUACUGAUCACAUCCUGUGUGUCAAACUAAGACUUAAGAAGAGUCUUCUUAAAGAGCAUUUUGAAAGAGCUUUCUCAUUUAGUAUUCCAAAUAAUGCUAUGACAUUGGUAGUUUUUAUAAAAAGAAAUCAAGGCUCAGAAAUAUCUCAGAUUGGCUUAGAUUUGAAUGCAUGGGACAGAAAAACUGAAAAUAAUAAUGACUUAAAUAGGAAAGAGAGAGACAUAGUGUUAGCACCCAAGCUUCUCCUAUCUUGUUGCUCUCCCGUCCUCAGCAUUGGCUUCCACUCCGUGGCUCAAGAUGGCUGCUUAAGCUUCAGCCAUCCCCUCCACAUUCCAGCCAGUACGAAGGAGGAAGGACUAAAGAAGGGUGCACCUUCUUCCUUCAAUGGCACUUCCUGGAAGUUGUACACAUACUACUUUCCCUUACAAGCUAUUGGCUAAAACUUAGUCACCUGGCUACACAUAGCUGUCAGGGAGUUGGGAAAUGCAGUCUUUAUUCUAGGCAGCUCUGAUUUAAAAAUCAGAGCUUCUGUUACCAAAGGAGUAAAGAAUGGAUAGUGGGCCGAACAACGAACAAUUUCUGCUAUGGAUAUUAAGUAACUUGCCCAGAGUUUUCCAGUUGAACUCUGUCUGAAGAAGGUGCUGGUGCUACCAGAGGGAAGAGGCAGGAAGGACAUAGGAGUGUGAGGAGGUAGAAGCUUAGGAUAAUGUCGGCCCUGCUCCAGGGUCUCCUGUCUGCUCUGCUGAAACUCCAGUUGCUUUGCCAGGAGUCUAGUCAAGUACCUAGCCACCUGAAUCUUCACUGAAGAAGAAAGCCACAUGGCUUUGCCAUUGGACGCUGGUGCUAAAACCUACAUGGCAGAGGAGAGAGGAAAUAUGUCAAAGUCAGUGUUGAAAGGGUGGGAAGGGAUAAAAAGUAGAGCGAUUUUCAUUUCCCUUCAGCUUUCUGCCUCUUGGCUUCUCUUCAACAAUGGUUGACUCAUGGUUCCAUUCUAUUUUAGCUGAUACGUGGUCAGCUUUUACCCUAUGGAAGACCCCAAAUGGGCCUGGGGCGGGGGGUUGUUGGGGGAAGAUCAUUGAAAAGAUGUGAUGGCCAGGGGACCUGUGAGAUGGACCUGGGAAAUGUGAGUCUGGAUAGCAAGAAGAACUGGAAUUUGAAUUGUGAUCUUUUGACUUCACGUUACGAACAAGCAAGACGAAUGAAAGCAAGACUAAGCAAACCCAGCUCUCUCCAGAGUACAGACCCCUGAUGCCAACACCAGACAUGGGUACCCCACUUUACAAAAUGUCCCUCAGUCUCUUGUCCAGGCAAUGAUCCAGGGCCAUUAAAGGCUAACAGAAGCAUCACAGCCACCAGACCCAACUGAGGACAGGUGCAAAUAGUCAACAUGCUUCAGUAGCCCCAGGGGGCAAUGCAGAACUGUGAAUGGUCUCCAAACUGGUUUUCAUAACAAUGACCUUAAGUCAGCAAGGCAAAUGGGAUCCUAUCCUCAUUGCACUCUUAUUUCAGAAAACAGUGAGUGCGCAAGAGAUUUGAGGAAAUCAAAAAUGUUUAACACAGAUGUUUAACCAAGAGUAAAUUGUUUAGAGCACUUGUAAGUUUUCAAUAACGUGGAGAGGAGUUGUUGACUCUGGCAGAUGGAGUAGGCGGCUUUCGAGGAGAAGGGAUCGCCCCAGAAUUUCCCACCGUGAAGCUGAGCGCCCAGGACACUGUGGUGGAUGAGCAUUGGGGUUCCGCAGGAUAUGCCAAUUCCCUUUCCUUUCAUCAGGACAGGAAGAAGGGAAUGAGCUUCCAAAAUCCCUGUUGGAAAUUACAUUGAUUUACCAUUUCCAUUCUUUAUGACAUUUUUCAGGGAUUGUUAAAUGUUUCUGGUCAGGGCUGUGUUAUUAUUUCAGCCUUAGUAGCCCUUUAAGGGUUCCCGACACCUCUGGAGAGCAGCAUGUGGACUGCAUCAGCACUGAGUGGGUCUGAGCUAUAAUAGGGUGUCCUCUGACCCUAAUCCCAACCGCCGUCUGGAUUUAUGGGCUCCCACCAGUGCAGAGGGUGGGUGGAAGGACCAGGGAGGCUCACUAGCUGCGCGGUCAGCCUAGGGAGCUGGGAUUACAUAGCUGGGAUCUGCUCAAAGCACCAACUUCAUAAGAUUCCCCCAUUUUGCACAACCCUGCAACAGAAGCCACAUCCUCAUUGUGCAAGUUCAGGUUUAACCACAGACCAAACAGCCUGUGCCUUGCUAGGCAAGGAGGGGCCUGACCCACUGAAGAGUGCUUUCUUUUAAUAAGGAGGAAGGGGUUGGGGCGCCUGGGUGGCGCAGUCGGUUAAGCGUCCGACUUCAGCCAGGUCACGAUCUCGCGGUCCGUGAUUUCGAGCCCCGCGUCAGGCUCUGGGCUGAUGGCUCGGAGCCUGGAGCCUGUUUCCGAUGCUGUGUCUCCCUCUCUCUCUGCCCCUCCCCCGUUCAUGCUCUGUCUCUCUCUGUCCCAAAAUAAAUAAAAAACGUUGAAAAAAAAAUUAAAAAAAAAAUAAGGAGGAAGGGGUUUUUUGGAGGGUGGGAAUCAGGGACCCUAAGGUUUCAGAUUAGGACACUGUGCAAGAUAUUGUCUUAUAAGUUGUUAGGUCACUUUCCAACAUGUGAUUAAAAUGAGCAACUGAUUAAAAUCCAGACAUAAUGCUAUUAUAAAAUAUUUUAGUUUGGACAAAGCCUGAGAAAAACUCAGGCUUCUCCUCCACAAAAACGGACAAACGUUGUCCAGUGAAUUGAAUGAAUGAAUACACGCAAACCAUGGGGGAAAUUCUAAAGGCUGAGUUGAGAGAACAGUGGAUGGUAGAAAUAAAACUUUUAUCUUGAAGCUAUAAUAAAAGGAAACCCAAUAAAUUAAAUGGGCUACAGGAUUCAUGAAGCUGAGUCAUAAAAAAAAAUAAUAAACACAAAAUCCCGUGGGUCAGGCAACAUAAAGAUAAGAAUUCAGAGUCUGUUUGUUUAAUAAUAGGCUCUUUCCUGUUUAGACAAAGAGCAUAUCAAGGAAUUGAUGCAAAUGUGUUCCUGUUUCUAUUCUCAUAGUUCCACUUUCCCGCUAAAAUUACUUUCUGUAGCAGAUGUAACAAUUAAAUGAGAUACUAUGUGUCACUAAGCUUCGGUGCACAAGAAAAACAAAAUACAUGUGGUUAAAUUGGAAUCUGAAUAGUGCUGUUCUUCCUCCGUAUUCCUUCUCCUUUUUCCAGUCUCCUCUGCUUUGUUGGUUCUGUUUGAGAACUAUGUCCCUGGAUCAGUGCUGAUGUGGCCCUGAUCUCCAGGAAUUUUGCUCAUUCACAUCCUCAGUCAAUAUUUAUUGAGUUCCUGUGAUGUACCAGGCUCUCUUCAAGGCCCUGGAGACUCAGUGUUUAAGGAUGACAAAGUCCCUGUUUACAUGUGAGGGGUAAUAAACCAACAGAUGCAUAAAUCUAUGGUAUAACUUGGAGUCCUGUAAAGUGCUCUCAAGAAAUGCAAAGGAGAGCAAUGGGAUAGAGACCAGCAGGUGGGGGUUGGGGGACAUUUCUGUGGAAAGAUCAGGGAACCCUCUCUAGAGAAGGUGGAGAAGUGUCCUGAAUCAUGUGAGGAGUAAAUCCACAGGAGGAUCUGGGCAAAGGACGUGGCAGAGGCAGAAGAAACAGCAUGUGCAAAGGGCCCAGAAGUGGGAAACAAGACUGGUGUGAUUUUAGGAAAACAAAAAGGCCGUGUGGCUGGAACAGAGUGAAUUGCAGAGAAGGUUGUUGGUGAUGAGCCUAGAGGCUUGCUGAGGGGCCAGGUCACGUGGGGCCUCAUGGGGCAUGCUAAGCGGUUCAUUCAGAUUGUUGAGACGUUAUUGAUGAAAACAGGAUUGAUGAAAAGUUAUUGGAGGGUUUGAGUCACAAUAUCGUUUAUGUGUAUUAAAAGGAUCAGUCUGCCUAUUGGACAAAAGGGCAAACCAGAAACAGAGACACCAGUUAGGAGAGGCAGUGUAACAUAGUGGGCAAGGCUCUGGAGCCGGACUGCCUAUGCCGUUAAUGAGCAACGUGAACAUAGCCAAGUUAAAUGACUCGUCUGUGCCUCGGCUUCCUGAUCUGUAAAAUGGGGAUGAUCGUAGUAAAGUCUGCCACUUUGUGCAGGUGGAACCGCCCCCUGGAGCAGUGAACACCGUGUGACGGGUACCUUUUGGAGCUGUGCAACACUGUGGUCUUACUAAUAACAGAGGUGGGUCUUUCUACCUCGUUGGGUUAAACGGUCAAACACAGAGAAGUGCUUAGAACAAUGCCUGGCACCUAGGAAGAGUUUAAUAAAUAUUAGCUAUUAUUUGUAGUCCGGGUGAGAGAUGAUGGCGGCUUGGGCUAAGGUGCUGGUGGUACCAACCGGGGUGGUGAGUGCUCAAGUUUGAAAUAAAAUGUGAAGAAAGAGCCUGCGCUGGCUCCCAGGGGCACAACGGGUCCCGAUGAUGGAACUCGAGGGCUCCAUCUUCGCCAAGACUUCUAGGUGGGGGGUUUUUUCAGUCUGAUUCAUUUUGGAGCUGAGUUUUUCAGCAUCUUCCCCACCAGUAUGUUUCCCGCCUCGAACGAUGAGUGUACGUAGUAUCUCAUUGAUAGAGUGACCGUGCAGGGAAGAGAGUUCAGUGCUUCUCUCGUCUUGUGAGGAUAAAGUGUGCAGAGCCUUCAGGAGUUACUGUCUUGAGGCCACAGUGUCCCUGAAGUCCUUAGUGUCCCUGGUUCCUGAAAUGCCUGUCCUUGUGCCCUCGGUCACCCUCCAUGGCCCCCAAAGGGCUCAGUUAAGAAGCAGCCCAACCAGGAAAAGAAGCACCAGAACAUACAUAAAAGCAGACGGUUCAAAGGCACCAUUCAUUUUCAUUUCAUCGCUUUCAUCAACCACAGAACCCAAGUCAACCAUUUAAGGUUAAGAAAUUUGUUUGGAGGGGCACCUGGAUGGCUCAAGGUGGUUAAGCGUCUGACUCUCGGUUUCUCCUCGGGCCAUGAUCUCACGGUUUGUGAGUUCGAGCCCCACCUUGGGCUCUGCACUGGCAGCCUGGAGCCUGCUUGGGAUUCUCUCUCUCUCUCUGCCCCUCCCCACUCUCUCUCAAAAUAAAUAAAUAAAUAAAUAAAUAAAUAAAUAAAUAAAUAAAUAAAAAAAAUAAAAUAAAAUAAAAUAAAAUAAACCCUGAAAUUUGUUUAGGAUCUGUUCCAUUUUCUCACCCACUUGGCCCUAAGGAAUCUCAAACAGGAAUCUUGGAGGCGGCAGGGGCAUCGGGUGGGCUCAAGAGUGCAGACGCCUAACCCCUCCAGGGUCUUUCUCAACCCCCCAGCACGGCAGCCAUGGGGUAGGAGGUGUGAGUAGCUCUACGUAGCUGCUCUGCCACCCUCGGCCUUAGGUGCCAGUGACAUUGCUGUCUGGUAACUCAUACGUGAGGUAAUCUCAUUUUAUUUGUUCUGGACGCGUGAGGCAUGCAAUUCCUUCUUCAGAAGUUAUAAAGUGGGGCCCCAGCUAAUAACUCAACAUAAAAAGAGGCUGCCGUUUUCUCAUUCUCAGGCGCAGUAAUAAUUCCUGCCGUGAGCCAGUCAUCAUGGAAAUGACUCAGGCUUUCUCUCCUGUGCUAAUAAGGUUUAACUGUCUUUGGUCCUGACUCAAACUGGCUGGGAGCAAAGCCCAAAUAUUAGAAGCUAUACCAAAGUGUGCCACUGUGUAACUGUUUACUUGACUUACCCGGAUACUCUGCAACCCAGUCAUGCCAGCCCUUGGCCUUCCUUCUGAGUCGGCUGCCUUCUUAGCCCAGUUCACCCAAUGGGGGUAUCUGUUGCCCUCUGUCCUCUCUUGCCAGGAAGCUGAGACCACGGUUCUGAACUCAAAAUCAGGCAUCUGGCUCUCUUUGCAUCUCUAAUAUUAGCGAUGCUUCGUGUCUUCUUGGGGGGGGUCCCAGUAUGAGAACUGAUCCAGCCCCAGCUCUCAAGUGAACCCUCUGGUUAGAGGGCUAUGACGGAGGGACCCUCCGGUCUUCUUUUAGUUGAAAUGAUCACUCUGGGGUACACCUGAGAUCCUGGCAGUUCAGAAGUGAGCCAGAGGCCCUUCAUUUAUCUGUAGACAUUAUCGAUUAUCCACCCAGCACCCGGCAGUGCUAGUCAUCAAGGACAGAGCGACAAAGGCACAGUUCCUAACAUCAGGGACCCCGGUAUGGCGGGCUGAUGAGAAAAUAAACAAUUGGAGAACAGUGUGGCCAGUGUUGUAACAGAUCUUCAGGUGCUACAGGGAAUUCAGGGGGUGCCUGACCCGCACCGGUGGCGAAGAAAGAAUUCCUCAAGUCCGGCAUGCUUAAAUGUCUCCAGAAGGGUGCACAGAGCCAUGUAAUCAGAGAAGGGUCAGGAAGGGUGUUCCUAAAGAGAGAGGGAACAGCAUGAAAGGCAUGUGUGACAAAGCCAGCUAGCUGUGACAGGAAGAUCUACUUUCUCCCCCUUCCUGGGCUCACAGCCCCUCUUGCAGUGUGACAGAAGGUGUGCAGACAUGAUGGGUGGGCCUGACCCAGAAGACCCUGUCCUAUAUGCCCUUCUCUGGGCUUUCCCAUGUCAGCUAACUGGGAGCAGGUAGGAAUCAGAGCUCGAAGGGCUCGCAUGCCACUUGCAGGAGCUCCAAAACUGAGGUGCGGGUGAGAAGAAAUCACAUUUUGUUUUUAGAAUAAAAGAGAUGGUACAUUGUCAGUGGUGAGGUUGAACUUGACCUGGGCUCUGUGCUCCUGGAAAACAGCGCUAUUUAAGAAAUCCCCUGCCCUUUUGUUUUCCCAAACCCUUUAUCCUUUGCUGUUCCAAGGCUAAGCCUCAGAGGACCACCGUGGCCUCCAGUGUUUCAAGAUAAUAAGACCCAUCUGCCUCCUUUCUCAAGGCUUCUAUAGGACUCGAGGAUGACUCCCUUCUUUACCAACCCACCUAGAACCCCAGGGCCCCUUCCUUUUUUGUUUGAGACUUUCCUCCCCCAUCAUUAUCCUCCUGAUUGCAAUAGCUGGAAUGAAAGCAGCUCUUUCAUUGUCUGUGGCAUUUCGUCUUUAUGUUAAUACAGUAGCAUCGAUCUGAAACUCACUUCUACUUGGGAGUAGAUGGCUAUGUGCUUUAUUUUUCUUUAACAACUUUUAUUAUUUAUUAAUUUGUCACCAGUCAGCCAUGAGAAUAUAGACUCCUUGAGGGAAGAGUUUGUCUUCUUCACCAUUUACCACCAUAUCCCCAAAGGCCUAGAAUAGUUCCUGGUACACAGUAGGCACUCAAUAUUUAGGACAACUCAUGGUAUGGUGACCCCUCAGCCCAUGUGAGCUUUCUGCCAUCCUCCCUAAGCUCCUCCUGCCCUUCUCUCUCUUGUCUCUCUCCCUCUUUCUCUGUGUCUGGUUGUCUCCUGCUCUAGCCCCUUUCUGCCCACCUGCCUGCCCCUCUCUUCCCUCUCUCUUUUUUUAUUCAAGGUUUUUUUUUUUCUUUUUUGAGAGAGAGAGAGAGAGAGAGAGAGAGAAAUCUCAUGAACUGUGAGAUCGUGACCUAGCUGAAAUUAAGACUGAAGCACGUGGACGCCCCUUCAUUUUGAUCUCUUUCCUAAUCCCUCUCUUCCUCUUGCUUCCCUCUCUCCUCCUCAGGCCUGGCAGUCCCGUCUCCUCCCUUCAGCCCCUAUUCUCCAGUCAGGUUGUUCAGUUGGGAGUGUGCAGGGUCAAGUGAAAA
Molecule: long non-coding RNA, 51314 nt
Filed under: Lynx pardinus (Iberian lynx)
Lineage: Eukaryota; Metazoa; Chordata; Mammalia; Carnivora; Felidae
Rfam family: tRNA (bases 36265-36323)
Source: RNAcentral